AUUCAGCAAUCUAAAGCAACUGACAACACUUAAGAUGAUGGACAUUGAGGGAGGGUUGACAAAAUUACCUAAUGCGAUCUGGUUUGUUCAGUUAGUAGAGACUCCUGAUUUUUGGUGCAGGGGAAGUAAGCUAUAUUGUUUGAAAAUGCCAGACUUGUCAUGGACCCAAAUAUCCGGAUUACCCACCGUGGCGAGUCUCGUCUCUAAUAUCCUUCUUGAACUUGAGAUGGCCGCACGGGAUAGCAGAUGGUUUUCGCAUUGGACGAGGUACCCCCUUGACCCCCUUGGCGAGCUGGAGAGUGUCGUUUUUUCUGGCAUGUUUCCCAGGUGUACCCAAUCUCAGAUGGAAAAAUGAAUAAUGGCCACCCCAAACAUGCGGUUCCUCCUCCAGCUCCCGUCUAGUUUAAGAGAGUCAGUAUUUCGAGUACUGGCGCCCUCACCUUCGUCAUAUGAUGCCCCUUCUUGGUGGAUGCCGAUAUUCGUUGGUAUAUGUGAUUCGGAGUUGGAGAAACUCCUUCUGAAGGAUUACACGCUUUCAAGACGGCUCGAGCAGUUUUCGCUGAAUAUGAGGAGACUCCAGCUUAACUACCGUGAUAAGAAACUCCUUCUGAAGGAUUACACGCUUUCAAGACGGCUCGAGCAGUUUUCGCUGAAUAUGAGGAGACUCCAGCUUAACUACCGUGAUAAGAUUUUUCGACGGCCGCAUCACCCCACAAAAGCACUCAAGCCGUUGAAAAAUUGGGGUCCCUUUCAUCCCUUGCGGUCGCAUAUUGUAGGUCGAUCGAAAGGAUGCUAGACCUAUCGAAAUCGAGGAAGCUAAGGGAGCUUCGAGUAGGAAAAUGUCCGAAGUUAAGAAGCAUGGAAGGUUUGGACCGCUUGGCAUCUCUAAAGCGUUUGUGGAUUCACGAUUGCAGGUCGUUGGAGAGUUUGGUGGACAUCUCGAAUUUGGAUUUAGAAUGUUGCUUGAUUGUCCGUUGGAAGCGAUUGCCCCACCGUCGCAAUUAUUGUAAACGUGGCCGGGUUGCUAUUGUGAGAUGCUUUUUGAGGGGUUAUGGAAAUCUAACCUGAUGGAAGUCCAGGAAGUAUUACAGGGACACCCGGAUGUUGUGCCGGUAAGGAGUUUAGAACAUGGCUUGCUUGUUGUGCUUGGUGUAGCCAUUUUGUUUGUUUUGUUCUUGUUUUGUUUUUUAGUUCUAUGAAAAAGGCUUUCUCCUAGACAAAUAUUGGUGAUGAAGCUAAGGAAGUGAACGAGGCACGCUCAUAUGAUGCUAAAACAUUGUCCAAUUUUGAUCAGCUUUUGAACAUGGUACUCAGUUCAUUGAUUGCUGUCCAUGAUUUCCAUUUUAUUCCUCCUUUUGUCUUUGUUAUAUAUGAGUUUCAACUCAAAUGACUGUGGUCAAACCCUAAUUUUCUCUCGCUUGUUUUGAUCGAAACGGAGAAACUGAACACGGAACGGGAAAGUCUCACAGUGAGAGAUGGGAAAGGGCUAGAGAGAUAGAGAGAGAAAGAGUGGAUGGUCGGAGUUUCUCUUGGCUUCUUACAUUAGAGAGAGAGAGAGAGAGAGAGAGAGAGAGAGGGAGAGAGAAGGGGGGGGGGGGUUUGUCUGCGUCGCGUGGUGACCGUCUGAUAAGGGUGGGCUUCGAGUUGUUCGAGGUCAGCGAGGCUGUGGCGAUCGAGUCACAGACGGUCAAGCACAUAUACUAACCCUCUUUAUUCACAAUUGACUGAUGUUUUAUCCCAUAUGCUCACCAAUUCUGUGUAGGAGGGUUGGCUUUAGGGAAUUAAGCUUAAAAAUGAGUGCCCCAAAGGAGUGCCCUGAGCCCACAUUCUCUUUACAUAUGACUCCCUAUUCUUUCUUGUUACUAACCCUGAUUGAACUGCAGAUGUUCGAAAAAGAUUCUUGACUGAAUUGCACUGCUCGGUCCCUAGGAUUAUCUUGCAAAAAUCGAGUAUAUGAUUCAGUCCUAACACGGGUGCAGAGUUCAGAACAAAGGUACGCAUAGUCUAGGGAAUGAAUGGUAUUCAGAACCCUAGUAAUUAUAUGGGUCUACCUAUUCUAUGGGGGUAGAUCCAAACAUGAAGCUCUUGGCUUUUUUAAGGAUAGAGUCUUGACAAGGAUGCCUAGCUGAAAAUCUAAUUUGUUGUCACAAGCUGGUAGGGAGAUUAGGUUAAAACAGUGGCUUAUGUUGUACAAACUUACUCCAUGUCUUGUUUCAAGUUUCCAAAGAAGUGAUAUGAAGAAGUGGAUGCAGCUAUAGCCAAUUUUUGGUUGGAAAAAAGAUUAACUGAAGCAAAGUUAGAAUGAGGCUUAAGUUUAUCACAGUUUGACAGAACCCUCCUUGCUAAGCUUGUUUGGAAAAUCCAAGCAACCCCUCAGAAUUCUGGGUGCAAGUAUUUCAAGCGCUCUACCCUUUGUAGCUUCAUGGAAGUUAGAAGAGGUGGCAAAAUGUCUUGGGGAUGGAGUAGAGUUUUGGAAGGAGAGAUCCAAUUAAGGAAGGCAGGUUAUAAUAAAUUGCUAAUGGGAAAUCAGUCAAAGUUGGGGAGGAUAGGUUGGUGAAGGAGUGUUGAGACUUGAUGCUACAUCCUUCAAUCUGACUCAGGUGAUAAAGGAAUUAAGAAUGGAGUCUCUAAUUGAUGCGGAUACUAAGACUUGGAACUUAAACCCCAUCAAAGACAGCAUGUGGUAGGAGGAGCAGUGACUGGUGUUGAGCAAUCACAUAAGGUCGAGAUCGAGAAGUUCUGAUGACCAAAUGAUUUGGCCCUAGAACAAGAUUGGUUGUUCUUCAGUAAAGUCUCUACCACUUUACCAUGCAAAAAAGAAAGAAACAUCUACUAAAGCCUAGAUUCUCAAGCUCUCAUACUAUUGAUGGUAUAAUUUGGAAGUUAGCACAGGGAGUCGACUCUCCUCAAGAUAAGACACUUCCUCUAGCAACUUUGCUUGAAUGUUGUGCCUGUUGUUGCUACAUGUGCAAAAGGAAAAAAUAUAGUUUCUCCUGGUGAUGGUGCCCUUAAGAGUUUGUGGCAACAAACUUUCAUUGAACUAAUUUAGUCGUUCUUGACCUUUCACAUAGCGAUGUUUCAGAGAAAUGGAUUGGCUGAAAUCAAAUCAUAAUAUAGUACGAAUCUCACUCCUUGCAUACAUGUAUCAUUCCUUGUCGUUUUUUUUUUCCUACAAAUAAUUUCUUAGUAUAUAUUUUGUUUUGCAGGUGGCAAGUAAACUAGAAGUACUAGAUCUCAACAAUUGCGAAUACUUAAUGAGAACACCUGAUUUAUCUAUGUCGGUGUCCUUGGGGAGAUUUGACUCUUGAAGGUUGCCACAACUUAAUUGAACUUGACCCAUCCAUUGGUAAAUUAAAGCUCCUAACUGCUUUGAACCUGAAGGGAUGUGACUCUUUUCAAGAGUUACGUGAAGAGAUAGGAUAUCUAUAAGCUUUGACAGAGAUUGUCAUGCCUAAUAUGCUACAUGAACUUUGGAAGAGAUUUGGUAAUUUGCAGUCAUUGUUGACCUUUGAUGUAUCACAUUGGUAGAUUAGCAAACUGCCGUACUCGAAAGACUGACUGACAAGUUUUCUCUGUUAUGUACGGUGAACAAGAAGCACUAUCCACAAUCAUUGAGCGACGAAGUAUGGCGUUUGCAGAAAAUAGCAAAGACAGCGCUCUGCACAAGUGCAUGACUUCGAGAGGAAUCAAUACCGUUCAAGAUUUCCUCGAGCUGUACGAAGCAGAUGUGCCUUUCUAAGAAACAAAGUGACUCUUACUCUUCGAGCACUGCUAAUUUCCCUUUUUUCCAGUUCACGUUAUUCUAAGAGUUGUUCAAUAUCAAAUCGUGCUACUUCUUUUGUGUACGAUGUUAUUUCAGGUACUUGGAAAUGGCAUCACCAAGCGGACAUGGGAGACGAUCAUCAGACAUGCCAGCCCGUGUGAUCAAUGAUGACAAGAUGUAUUUCUACCAAGCUUUGAACAAGGCCAGUAUAGUGUUCAAUUAGGUCAUGAAAGUUGCUCAAGCAGCACUCGAUGGCCAAAUUUACCAGUGAGUAGACAUAUUGGCCCACUCUCAGAAGGUACAAAAAUCAUAACCCGAAACAUCUCUAUCUAGUAGCUGAGUGUGAAUCUAUCUGGACCUAUAGAAAGGGCCUGUAUUAUCGGAUUAGUCUGCUUCCAUGGCAGAAUGUAUACCACAAGCACUUUUCUUAAAAAAGUACCUGUUUGAUUUUGAGCUUGAUUGAACCCACUGCUCGGUUGACAGAUUUUGUUGCAGAACUUGAAAUGGCUAGCUUACAAUAACAAGAAUCAAUGGUGGCGCUAGAUGCCCUGCCCAGCGUCUCUCUUCUGAGAGGCCCAACCAAUUUGCCUACAGAGCUGUCAAUCGGCCUGAGCCUGCCUCUUCAUCAUCUAUUUUACAUAGAGCUAAACCAAAGGUAUUGUGGUAUUUCAUCACUUCCAUCUAUCUUUUCCUUUUUGGCCUUCUUAAUAUUUCACAGUUUAGUGUUCCCAUUUCUUUAUUGGCACAUCCACCUUUUUGCACAUAUAUGGUAGCUGAAACUGAAAUGCAUUAUUAUUCAGAUAGACCAAAAGUGACUCCUGAAUUUACUUACUAAUUGGUUUCAGCAUCGUGCUGCUGCAAUGUCACAGAGAUCGGACAAUUAGGUUGUCUGGGGCCACAGUCAUAUCACUGCAAAAAUCUUUGAUCUGACUGUAUUCAACAGUUUGGCAAGGGAGGACUUUUUGUCCAGUUUGAGUGCUGGCGAAAGCAGUCAUCUUCCUGGUUACACACAAGAUCUGUUUGCACCGAACAUCCAUUUGUCUCCUGAAGUGCCAUCUCCAAUCUCUGGCAAUUUAAUGUGGACACCGGAGCAUACUUUCAUCAUUGAGUCGAGCAGCGGGGCAGAUUUUGGGAUCUGCCCAUCUCGCACGGGUUAUGGAGUCCAUAAUUCUAGGAUUGCAAGGCCCAAGGUGGCAUGGUGCAAGAUCCGUGAUGUGGUGAAGUGGGGAUUGGUUCAGCGCGUUGUGCCUGCAAAGAGAAGAGCAAGGUUCAAUUGUGCAAGUUAUCCAGCUGUAUAAAUGGAGAGUCCCAUCCCCCAAAAGGAUUUUGGGUGCUUCAGGAGUGCGAAGCUCUCGCCCACACAAGCCAGUCAUCACAUGCAAAGUACAAAAAAGAAGGAAAUUCAUGAUACUUGAUACAGGAUGCAUCAUCGACUUAGUAUUAUGCAUGAUCACUGCGAUUAUCUCUAUUGUCUUUUGUUGAUUGUCCUUUCAUAUUUGAAUGAAGUUGUGCACCAUCAAGAUGGGGCUACCAAUUGGACGUGUCUUCUCUCUAUAGAUCACGCAAGGUGAUCUUAGGAAGUACCUUAAUACAGGGGUUCUUCCUCAAGAUUUGUAAGGCUUUUGCUCUCUUCUUCAAGAAUUGUUUGGCAUUCUGUUUGUCCCAAAUACAUCAUUCCUUGAUUUGUCAGUUUACUGCUAUGAUAUGCUUAGUAGACUUUUCUUUGCUUUACAAAAUUUGUGAGUAUAUUACUUUGUUUGCGAGAUCCAAAGUUUCUCCUGUCAGCUUUGCUCUUAUUGAUCUGAAAUAUUAAGUGGCAGCUAGUGGAUGAUAUACAUCUCUUGGUGGCUUGGCCAAAUGCCAGUUAGAUACCUUGGCCUUCCCCUGAUUUUGGGAAGGUUAAGAGAAUAGAGUGUAAGCCUUUGGUGGACAAGAUUACUUUUCGAGUGAGUCCUUGGACAAUUAGGCAACUCUGUUGCGCUGAAAGAUUGCAACUCAUUGAGGAAGUAACAGCUUGGUGAAUUUUUGGAGUCGAAUUUUUUUGUUGCCAAAAAAGUCAUCGAUAUUAUGGAAAGCGAGUGUAUUGCCUACCUUUGGAAGGAAAAAUCUGAAAACGCUCGAGGUUCAAAAGUUGCUUGGAUGAUGCAUGUCUCCCCAACUUUAAGGGUGGUUUAGGAUUUGAGGAAAGUGGGGCCUUGAAAUCUUGCUUGUCUAUUGAAGAACUUACGGAUUUUGUUGCAGGCUGGAUCCAUUUGGGUGGCCUGGCUUAGCUGUUUCUUGCUUAAAGGGCAGUCUAUUUGGGCAGUGAAUCCAACUGGCGAGGCAGCUAUGCUUGGAGAAAGUCUACUUGAAGCAAUGUAAAUUAGUAUAUAACAGAUAGUUUCAUUUAAAAUUAAUAUUUGAAAAUUUGAUGGAGCAACGCGAACUUAAUUGUAAUUUGCACUGCAAAGCAUGGCUUGAGUUGUCACUUUUCUUCUUGUCCCAUAUAAAACUCGACCUCACUCACAAUGUGGUUUUGAGAAGACUUUUUGAGAUUUACUACUUGUCAUGUCUUACACAUAAUGGAUGAUGAGACUGGAAAAAUGCAAAGUCAAGAUUUUCAAAUUAUGAUAUGGGAAAUUUAUUCUUACUUUUCAUCACCAAUAUAAGAAGAUGCCCACUGGACUAGAUCUUUGCUAGAAAUGCAUCCCCUCGUAGGACGCGAAUGAUAACAGUUUUGUUCCUCUAUUUUUCUAUUUUUCUAUUCCUAAGAACAGGUUUGGAACAUAAAUCCGUUUAGUGAUGUAAUUUCAUUUUUUUUUAUCUUCAGGACAAAUUUUGCACCUAGAAAUUAGGUUUGGAACAAAAAUGAGAAGUAGAAAAUUUCUACUUUUCUCUUUCUAGAAUGGAAACAAAAAUAAAAACUUUUUUCAUCACUCAUCAUUGUCGCUACCCUCUGCCGGCCGUCGCCGCCCUCCACUGGCCACCUGCCCUCCACCAGCAAUUGGUUGUUGCCCUCCACUCACUACCCACCCGCCAGCUACCAAUCGCAACCUUUCAUCAGCCGUCACCAAGAAAUUUUAAGGCCUAUCAAAUGAAUUUCUAUUUCGAGAACAUAAAUUCUGUGUCGUUAUCAAAUGCAUGUCUUUGUUCAUAAACUCAUCCAAUAAAUAAAAACGGAAAAAUCUAUUUUUGAUAAGAAAAUAUUCUCGGAAACAAAAUGAUUAUCGUUUGCGCCCGAACUUGAAUUUAACCAGAGCAAAUCAUAAUGCAGCGGAAUCCGAAUGGGUUCCAUAGGUAAGUUGAAAGACAAAAGAAAAAGAAAAAAAAAAUAGAAAGUUGAAAGGUCAAUGUCCCCAAGACAUGUCGGUGGGAGCUUAGGCAAAAUUUUGAAAAACAAAAGCGAGGCAAUUUUUGCCGAGCAAACCUGAAAUGCAGUUGAUCACUUCGUCUCAAUUGCUCUCAGCUCACCUGUGACAUGGCCGUUGGACGAUGACCACAUACGUCUCACGUUCCACGUUCCACGUUCCUUUUUUACGAAUCCUUCAUAGAGGAUCAACGUCCAAUAGAUCGUCAGCGUAAUCUGGAGUAGAGUUUCCCAUAUCUAAAGGUUGAAACCGCAUUUUCUUGAAAACGUCGUCCGCCCCUCUUCUCCAUUCCCAUCACGAUCUACAUCGUACACCACCAAAAAUUAGUCCACAAAAUGCAUAAGUGAGAUAGCUAGUAUAAGCACCUAGAGGGGGGGUGAAAGGUGCACAAACAAAUUUUCGAGAUACGGAAGCGAUUCUAGGCAAACGAUAGAAAGGAAAAUACGAUCAAAGUAAAGUAAAGGUUAGGGAAGAGAGAAAUGAACACAAGAUUUAUAGUGGUUCGGCUUAUUCCAAGCCUACGUCCACUCUUCCGCACUAACAGCCCACCAACUGGAUUUCACUAUGAACAAAAGAGAAGUUAUAGCACAGCUUUUCCUUGAUUCCACAGUGUAGAUGUUCUACCACACUUCCUCAAAGUUUCUCACGAAUAUAGACUCUCUUUUGUUUACACGAUUUUGCUCAACAAAUUAAUUGACUAGGAACAAAGAGCUUCAGACUUUGGAAUUCUUCUCUCGUGCACGCUCUCGAACAACUGGAACGUCUUCCUUAUAUACUCCUUCAUGCCAUCAUACCCGUUGGCACUUACCAAAGGAAUUCCUCCAAUUUACCCGUUGGACGGAAUCAAUUAGGAAGAUCAUUCGAGCUAUUAAAGGAACAUGUCGAUAGCCCAUCAAUCAUGUUCGCCCAUACAAUCAGGAUCUCAGUUUCCAUAAGUAGAACCUUCCAAGUAUACUUUGCCAAUCAUCGGAUCCUUAAUCUUCGAAUCAACUAUGAUCAAAUAAAGGAUUCCGUUAUGUCAUAUCCAGCCAAGAGAUCUUCUCCAGACGAUAAGGCCACAUCCUUAAUGAAACAUCCAGUUCUGGAUAACCUUUGUUCAACGGAUUAGAAACUGUCAAUGAGGAUAGACUUUAAGUCUUGAGUCUGGCUGUCCGGAGGUCUUCAGACUUUAAAUAGCAGAGUUUGCAAGCCUUCAGACUAGACUGAUGGAAAUGUUUUGUCAACUUCAAAACACUUCAAGAGGAUUUCUCCAACAAUCUCCUCCUUUUUUAUGGUGACAAAACUUUCCUGCAGAUUUGGAAAAGUUUGACCUGCAAAACAUUUCUCAAACACAUAUGCAUAUCUUAUAGAGAUAAAUGGCUAAAUGAAUAACACUAGAAUCUGCAGCCACAGAAAAUAGGUUAGUCCAGUAUGCAAUAAAGCCAUCCAUAAGAUAUCAAUAGUAGUUAAUAAUAAGCAGUCAAAUCCAAAUCCCAAAUUUAGUCCACAUCCAGACACACAAGUUAAGUCAAAACAAACCAAAAGUUCGACAAAUUUAAGUUCAAAGUUUUUUAAGUCUCGCAACUCUCCCCCUUUUUGUCAGCAUAAAAAGAUUGAGAUGAAAAUGGAGUCAAGAAUGCUUGGGAACACGAACAAGCUGGAAAUCUCCCAUCGAUUGAACGAUGCCUUCCAGCCUUUUAAAGUCUUUCUUCAGCUGAGCAACAUCCUCACCCUUAGCAUUAGCCUGAAUCUGAAGAGAAAGGGCUUGGAUUUGAUCAUUUAAUGAACCCGAAGAAACUUGUCCUGCAUUCUGCAAGUUUUGAAUUUCGCAUCCCAAUGCAUAUAUCUGACCUUGCAUCUCCAAGAGAAUAUCUAUCACUCUACGAAAGUCUGCUGAAUUUUCGGUUUGCGUACUGGCAUUAGCACGAUCUGAUGGAGUAAAUGCAGACGAUGGUAGAUCAACAUAAUCACGCAGAUUUGGCGAAGAAACCUCAUGUCCUUCCUCAGGAAAUUGAGAGGCAAAAACCUCCUCUGGAUCUGUUGGGGAUCGACUGACUCCCUCACUGGUUGCAGGAUUUGAGGACAUUCCUCUUUUCUCUUGGUCUCCCCCUGUGUUCAUGCCUUCAGGUGGAGAGUGCUCCUCAUGUUCUCCUUCUUCUUGAUCUCUUUUCUCUUCUUCUUCUUUUUCAACUCUCUCUUUCUCAGCAUCUCUUUCUUCUUCUUCUUCUCUUUCCUCAGUUUCUUUUUCCUCUGCUUCUUUCUCUGCUCUUUCUUCUGUCUGUUGUUCUAACUCUUUCUCUGGAACAGAUCAACUGAGAUUCUUCAAAGCCAUUGCAGAAAUAGUGAUGUUAUCCUCAUCAUCUUCAUCCUCAACGAGAAGAGCUCUUCUUCUCUUGGAUGGAGCAUCCAUGGGCUCCUUCCCUUUCCUUUUUCCUGCAGAAGAGAAUUGAUGAGAUUUGACUGGAGUCUUUUCCUUAAAUUUCUCCAAUGCCUUGCUUAGUUCCUUCAGACGCAUCUUGGUCACCAUUUUCAGUCCUACCACCAUAUGAUCGCACGAUCGAGCACAAAGAAUUUGCGGAGGCUGAAUGUUCAGAUGUCUGAAUAACUUCGUCACAAGACCUGGAUAAGGAAGUUGUCCUAUGUCCUUCAUCACAGCUCUACACAUGUGGAACAUAACAGUGUGAGGAAGUGAAAACCUUUUCCUAGUGAUGAUGGCAUACAUUAGCUUUGCCUCUGAACUUGAGACAUCAGUCUUGGAAGUUGAUUUCGGUNNNNNNNNNNNNNNNNNNNNNNNNNNNNNNNNNNNNNNNNNNNNNNNNNNNNNNNNNNNNNNNNNNNNNNNNNNNNNNNNNNNNNNNNNNNNNNNNNNNNNNNNNNNNNNNNNNNNNNNNNNNNNNNNNNNNNNNNNNNNNNNNNNNNNNNNNNNNNNNNCAUCUGCCAGCAUAUCCAUAUCCACUACAAAGUCUUGAUCUUUGACAUUGAAGGAGAAUCUAUUCGCAUCCAAGAAACUAAGAUUUGAAUAGAAAUAUGUAGUUAGUUGAGGAUAGGCCUCUGUGGUGUCAGAGCAGAAUUUUUCAAGUUGAAGAUGACCGAACUUUUCCCUCAAGUUCACAUUUACAGCAUCUAGAAAGUCAAAAUCCACACUCCUAGGGUUUAUCACCCCACGCUUCAGCAAUUUUGAGUAUAGAUCCUUAUGUUCCUUCGAUCUAAACAACUCUCCCCUUUUUCCUCGAUUUUCCGCUGCAACUCCCAUUCUUGGUUGAAAUUGGCUGUAUAAUUUGUCAUCAUCAUUUCCAUCUACCGAAUUAAAUCCCUAAUCACGAGGGUCACUUGGGAUAUUCGCAAGGGUUUCUUCUGCCACCCCUUUACGAGCAAUUCCCAAACUUUCCAUUUUUCGCAAAAAGAUAUAUUCAUUUCCUUAAGAAAAUCAUCGACAUAGUUCAAUGGAGUACCGGUCCCUUUUAAAGCACGAUACAGCUUAUAAAUAAAAGAGGGCCUUUGAACUCUUACAGGGUCUGCAUCUUCAAUGAUUUCUUCAUUUUGAUGAUGAUCAACAUCUUGAGGACUAGAUGGAGGAAAAUGACGCUGCUGAGAAUGUUGUGGGCUAUGCUGCUGAUUUGGAGACACUUCUUCUUCAGUGAGAUCGAAGUGCGUAGGCCCCUCACUCAUUCGCCGUGGUCCCCUGCUUGCGAUCCUCAAAGACUUUCUUGAAGACGACAUCUUUCUUAGUCUUUGAAAGAUUCCUUGCUUGACUUUCCCAAGAAAGAUGACAACUUUUUCGAAGAUUAAACAAGAGAAGAAAAUAGGAAUGGAAGAUUGGUGCUUUUUAGGGUUUUGGAGUUAAGCGAGGAGAAACUGAUUGUAUAUAAGACAGUCGAAAUGAGAGGAUACCAAACGUCGUAAUGGAAAGUGAAAAGAUGCCUUUUAAAAAAAUAUCUGCCUUUUUCGAAAAAAAAGUCACAUCAAAAUAACUCAUUUUUCUAAAGGAAACGUUGCAAUAAUCUCGUCAAUUAAAGAUAGCGGUUGAGAUAACAAUAAUCAACACGGUUGAUGAACGUACCUUUUCAAGAUGAGAUUAGAGAGAGAGAAUAACUUACAGUCAAAGUCUUAUUUGUCUGAGUCUGAGAGUCUCUAGACUUUAACUUCUUCAAACCUCAAAAUGUUGAGUCUUGAACGGAUAAUUUCAAAUUGAUUUUUCUCCAAAGGCUUUGUAAAUAUAUCCGCCAGUUGGUUCUUUGAGUCAACAAACCGAAUCGUAAUUUCUCCAUUUUGAACAUGAUCUCUAAUGAAGUGAUGUCGAAUCUCUAUAUGCUUUGCUCUUGAGUGAAGAAUUGGAUUUUUGGUGAGAUUGAUUGCGCUGGUGUUGUCACAUUUAAUCUCCAUGCAUGAAUCUUCAAUUCCAAAGUCUCUUAGCUAUUGUUUUAUCCACAAAAUUUGUGAACAACAACUUCCAAGAGCUACAUAUUCUGCUUCUGCUGUAGAGAGAGCUACUAUACUUUGCUUCCUUGAAAACCAAGACACUGUCCUGCCUCCAAAUAGUUGACAAGUACCUGAGGUGCUCUUUCUAUCAACUCUACAUCUGGCUAAGUCUGCGUCUGAGUACCCAAGAAGAGUAAAGUCUCCCCUUUUAGGAUACUAGAGACCGAAGCUUGAAGUUAAUGCAAUAUAUUUGAUAAUACGCUUUGCAGCAUUUAAAUGUGAUUCUUUAGGGUCUGCUUGAAAUCUGGCACAAAAGCAAACACUAAACAAAAUGUCAGGUCUAGAAGCAGUAAGAUAAAGAAGUGAACCGAUGAUACUCUUGUAUAACUUUUGGUCGACUUUCUUUCCUCCUUCAUCUUUAUCUAUCUUCAAGGAAUUUGACAUUGGUAUAUUGGCCUUUUUGCAAUUGUCCAGUCCAAACUUCUUCACAAUAUCAUUAGCAUAUUUUCUUGAUGAAUAAAAGUUCAUUCCUUCAGUUGUUUCACUUGAAGUCCAAGGAAGAAGGUUAACUCACCCAUCAUGCUCAUUUCAAAUUCAUCCUGCAUAGUCUUAGAGAAUUUCUUGCACAGACUUUCAUUAGAGGAUCCAAAAAUAAUAUCAUCGACAUAUAUUUGAACAAGUAGAAAACUCUUGCUUUCUCUUUUAAUGAAAAGAGUAGUGUCUACUUUACCUUUAACAAAUCCAUUUUCAAUUAAAAACUUACUCAGUCUGUCGUACCAAGCUCGAGGUGCUUGUUUCAAGCCAUAUAAAUCAUUUUUGAGUCUGAAUACUGAGUCUGGUUUCCUUGGGUCUUCAAACCCAGGUGGUUGUUCCACAUAGACUUCCUCUUGGAUGAAUCCAUUUAGGAAGGCACUUUUGACAUCCAUGUGGAAUAACCUGAAAUUCUUAUAACAAGCAAAAGCAAGUAAUAAUCGAAUUGCUUCUAACCUUGCUACUGGUGCGUAAGUCUCGUCAUAGUCUAUCCCUUCUUCUUGUGUGUAUCCCUUGGCCACGAGUCUUGCCUUGUUUCUUAUGACUUUUCCUUUCUCGUUCAUCUUGUUCCUAAAAACCCAUUUAGCUCCAAUAACAGACUUACCUUUUGGUUUAGGAGUUAAUUCCUAGACAUCAUUAAUACUGAAUUGCCUGAGCUCUUCUUGCAUAGCUUCAAUCCAGCUUUCAUCAAAUAAAGCUUCUUCUAUGCUUUUGGGUUCUAUUUCAGAAACAAGAGCCACAACACUAGACUCUUCGCGCCUUUUAGAUCUUGUGCGAAUUCCUUCAUUGAUGUCACCAAUAAUAAGAUCUUUGGGAUGACUGGACUUAUGUUUCCAGUUGCUGGUUAAUUUGUCAGAUUGAUGGUCACUUCCUUCACUUGAAUCUUCAACAGUCACUUGUUGCUGGUCCUUCAAAGUCUGAGCUAUUUUAGACUUUGUAGAAUCUGGAGUAGGUUCAGAUUCUUCAAGAUGAGUUUGAAUGGAUUCAUUUUGCAUAGAAUCUUGGAAUUUAACAUUCAUUGAUUCUUCCACUAUUUGAGUCUUCUUGUUGUAGACUUUGUACGCUUUGCUUGUGGUUGAAUAUCCAAGGAAGAUGCCUUCAUCUGACUUUUCUUCAAACUUACCAACUCGAUCAUUUGCAUUUUUCAGUAUAAAACAUUUGCAUCCAAAUACAUGAAAAUAUGAAACAAUAGGCUUCUUUUCUUUGAAUAGUUCAUAAGGGGGUUUUUUCCAUAAUAGGCCUUAGAAAAACUCUAUUUAUAAUGUAACAUGCUGUAGAAAAACUGCUUCAGCCCAAAAACGUGAAGAGAUGUUACUUUCAAUUAAAAGAGUUCUAGCCAUUUGUUGAAGUGAUCUAUUCUUUCUUUCCACAACUCCAUUUUGCUCUGGAGUAUAUGGAGAGGAGAAUACAUGCUGAAGACUAGAUUCAUCAUAGAAUUUUGUAAAAUCAUGAUUUUCAAACUCACCUCCAUGAUCUAUUCUUAUACUCGAGAUAACAUACCCUUUUUCAUUUUGAACUUUUUUAGCAAACUUUUCAAAGUAAGAGAAAGUUUCAGACUUACUUGCCAAGAAAUAUACCCAAGUAAAUCGUGAGUAAUCAUCCACAAUUACUAGGCAGUAUUUCUUACCUCCAAUGCUUUGUGUUCUGGUUGGUCCAAAAAGAUCCAUAUGCAGAAGCUGCAGUACACGGUUAGUGGAAACUUGAUUUAUUGGUUUAAAGGAAUUUCUUACCUGUUUUCCCAAUAUACAUGGUGUACAUAGAUCAGACUUUUGGUAUGAUAAUUUGGGUAGACCACGAACAAGCUUCUUUGCUGCGAUUUUGGCUAUUUGCUUCAUAUUGACGUGCCCAAGCUUUCUGUGCCAUAAAUUUGCUUCGUCUUGGAUUGAGAUUAGACAUUGUGAUUCAUCUGGUUUCACAUCCAAGAGGUAGAUAUUUCCAUGUCUUCGUCCCAUGAAUGACUGAGUAGAAUCUUUACUAAUUCCUGAACAUAUUCCCUCUUGAAAGUUGAUUUUGAAACCAGUAUCACAUAGCUGACUAAUACUGAGCAAAUUGUAGUUAAGCCCUUCCACUAAGGAAACAUUGCUAAUUGUGAGAUUUCUAAUCUUUACAGUUCCAAAUCCCACAAUUUUUCCUUUGCUGUUUCCUCCAAAAGAGACUUUUCCACCAUUCACUCGAACAAGCUUUAUGAAGUAAUUUGAGUCUCCUGUCAUAUGUCUUGAGCAUCCACUAUCCAGAUACCAUUUUACCUUUUUCUUGAUAGUGACCUGCAUUUAAAAAAGAAACUCAAACUUCUUUGGUACCCAUAUUUUCUUGGGUCCAUUGGUGUUAGUAUGAUAUGCGGUUUUUGCCCAUACCUUUUUAACAGGUUUCCAAAUCAUAGGACAUUCUUUUUCAAAAUGAUCUGCACUAUUGCACUUUGAGCAUCUGAGAGUAUUGCGACCUACUGGUUUUACAAAGAUCCUUUUAAAAUGAUUUUUGUAAGUAUCUCUUGUGGGUCUUUGUUUGAUUCUUUCCUUCACUUUAGGAAAAUCAAUUAAAGGAAUGGUUUCAGCAGUCAUUCCCAAACCAGAUUUAUUAAAAUAAGGUCUUUGAACAGAGAGAAUUUUUUCUAGUUUCUCAGAUCCUAUAGAAAAUCUUUUGAAAAUAUUUGAGAUAUCACUUUUCAAGAAUGCAUUUUCUUUUAAAAGAUUAUCUUCACUUUCUUUAAGAGAAGAAACAUUCUUGUCUAAACUUUUCACUUUUUCUUUCAAAAUAUUUUCCUGUUGUUUUAGAGCAGAAUUUUCCUUCUUGAGUUCGGAAAUUCUUUUAAGAGAAGUCUUAAGACUGAAACAUAAUUUAUCAAUGUACUUUGAAACCUUAAUAGGGAUUUUGAAGUUACUUACCUCAAAUUCGCUUUCUGAAUCUGAAUCUGUCUCGGAAUUUGAAUCUGAAUCCGAUUGUGCCAUCAGACAUAUAUUGGCAUAAUCAUCAUCACUUUCUUCACACUCUGUAUCACUCUAGGUUUCAGCUUUAAGAGCUUUUCGGUACUUUUCAGUUUUUCCUUUCUCCUUCCUCAGAAGAGGACAGUUGGGUCUGAUGCGUCCCUUUUUCUUACAUUCAAAGCAGACUACAUCUUUGUUUGAUUCAUCAUCCUCAACAGACUUAGUCUGUUGUUUUUGAAAACUUUGUUUCAUUGGAUUGAAUUUUCUUCCUUUUCUGUUCAGUUUUCUGAAUCUUCUUAUCAUGAGAGCAAGUUCCUCAUCAUCCAUAUCGUCUUCAGAAUCUAUAACAUCAGAAUCAUCAUUAGAUUUUAAUGCAAUGGAUUUCUUACCUUUAGGGUCUUCGUCUUCAUUGAUUCGUUCCACUUCAUAAGACUGAAGAGUCCCAACCAACUCAUCAACAAAUAUUGGCAUGAUUCUUUGGGUCUCUCUGAUUGAGGUCUUUAUGUGAUUCCAAUCCUUGGAAAGUCCACGCAGUAGCUUGUUUACUUUCAUGGGUCAGAAAUUGGUUGACCUUGAUUUUCAAGACCAUUCACGAUUUCUGUAAAGCGACUAAAUAUAUCAAUUAUAGAUUCUCCUGGUUUCAUUUUGAAGGCUUCAUAUUGACCGAGGAGAAUGUUGAUUCUAGUCUCUUUCACUCGAUCGAUUCCUUCAUAGGUAAUAUGUAAUCUAUCCCAAACUUCUUUAGCUGUAACACAAGAAGAUAUUAUGUUAUAUUCAGUAGGGGAUAAAGCACAAUAUAAAGAAUAAAUUGCUUUUGCAUCAAGAGCUUGUCUCUUGAUUUUCUCUUCCUGAGUCAUUUCGCUAGACUCAACAGCAUCUUUUCCUCUUUCUGAGACAGAUGCAGCUUUAGGAAUGAUUCCUUUUUCUACAACGUCCCAUUCCAGAGGAUCCUUUGAUCUUAGGAACACUUUCAUCUUGUUUUUCCAUAUGUUGUAAUCAUUUCCAUCAAAGUAAGGUGGUCUGGUAUUGCUUUGCCCUUCUACCAGUCUUGGAGCCAACAUACUAGCCAUGGAUCUUUAACUCUGAAGUAAAACACUUCAACCAAAGUGAGUACAUAGGCUCUGAUACCAAUUGAGAUAACUAGUAUAAGCACCUAGAGGGGAGUGAAUAGGUGCACAAACAAAUUCUCGAGAUACGGAAGCGAUUCUAGGCAAACGAUAGAAAAGAAAAUACGAUCAAAGUAAAGUAAAGGUUAUGGAAGAGAGAAAUGAACACAAGAUUUAUAGUGGUUCGGCUUAUUCCAAGCCUACGUCCACUCUUUCGCACUGACAGCCCAUCGGCUGGAUUUCACUAUGAACAAAAGAGAAGUUACAGCACAGCUUUUCCUUGAUUCCACAGUGUAGAUGUUCUACCACACUUCCUCAAGGUUUUUCACGAAUAUAGACUCUUUUUUGUUUACACGAUUUUGCUCAACAAAUGAAUUGACUAGGAACAAGGAGCUUCAGACUUUGGAAUUCUUCUCUCGUGCACGCUCUCGAACAACUGGAACGUCUUCCUUAUAUACUCCUUCAUGCCAUCAUACCCGUUGGCACUUACCAAAGGAAUUCCUCCAAUCUACCCGUUGGACGGAAUCAAUUAGGAAGAUCAUUCGAGCUAUUAAAGGAACAUGUCGAUAGCCCAUCAAUCAUGUUCGCCCAUACAAUCAGGAUCUCAGUUUCCAUAAGUAGAACCUUCCAAGUAUACUUUGCCAAUCAUCGGAUCCUUAAUCUUCGAAUCAACUAUGAUCAAAUAAAGGAUUCCGUUAUGUCAUAUCCAGCCAAGAGAUCUUCUCCAGACGAUAAGGCCACAUCCUUAAUGAAACAUCCAGUUCUGGAUAACCUUUCUUCAACGGAUUAGAAACUGUCAAUGAGGAUAGACUUUAAGUCUUGAGUCUGGCUGUCCGGAGGUCUUCAGACUUUAAAUAGCAGAGUCUGCAAGCCUUCAAACUAGACUGAUGGAAACGUUUUAUCAACUUCAAAACACUUCAAGAGGAUUUCUCCAACAAUAAGAAAUUGCAUGGCGAAGAUGUCGCAAAGAUAAAUUCGACAUUAAAACUGGAAAAAGGAGCCAAAUGCCAAUGUUCCCACAAAUAUGAGAGCUCACCAUUAGGGAUGGGCAUGGGGGCAAGUCCAAUUCCCAGCCGGCGAACUAGGAACCUGCGCCAUCCCUGUCCCAUUCCCCAUGUGGGGCAGGGCGGUUCACCGGCGGUUCCGUUGAAAGGGCGGCAGAGAGUAAGAUAGAGAGAGACUGUAUUAACACAGUGCCAAAAAUUUUGCUUUAAUUCCCACUUGUAUCCGUGUAUUAAAAUAGAGCGGGAGGUACACUCAAGUCAACGCUUAGCGAGCCAUACCAACAUUGUCCCUAACAUUGUCCGUAGCGAGCCAAACCAACAAGUACCGACGCCCAGAGCUUAAUGGAUAAUUAGCGAAGACACUCAAGUCAACGCUCUAAAGUCAAACCUGAAACUGAAUACACCGCGAAAAACUAAAGGGCCGUUUGAGGAACUAAAGAAUUGACUACUCAGGAUGAGUUCAAAGAGAGUAGCCUGGUCAACUUCGACAAACUCAGCGACCCAGGCCUUUGAGGACGUCCUCGAUGGUGCCAUCUUCGGACUUGGCAAACUCGGCGUGCUUCUUGCAGUACUCGAUUGACAUUGAAGUACAAUCGCAAUCUGAGGAACCAUGGUCACCACUGCGAAUUCACACCAAUGGGAGAGGCAAGGACACAAAUGCAGUCGAUGAGGAAGAUCACCCUUGGGAGCUCUGACGGUGAUCCGUUCGAGGUCAACGAGGCUGUGGCCGACGAGUCAUAGAUGAUCAAGCACAUAUACUCACCCUCUUUAUGCACAAUUGUGGCUGAUGUUUUAUCCCAUGUACUCAACAAUGCUCUGUAGGAGUGUUAGCGUCAGGGAAUUAAGCUUAAAAAGGAGAGCCCUGAGCCCACCUUCUCUUUACAUAUGGCUUCCUAUUCUUUGUUGUUGCUAACCCUGUUUGAACUGCGGAUGUUCCAAAAAGAUUGUUGACUGUAUUGCACUCUAUCCGUAGGAUUAUCUUGCAAAAAUCCUGUAUAUGCUUCAGUGCUAACACGGGUGCAGAGUUGAGAACAGAGGUAAGCACAGUCCAGGGAAUCAAUGUUAUUCAGAACCCUGGUAACUAUUUGGGUCUACCUAUUCUAUGAGGUAGAUCUAAACGUGAAGCUCUUGGCUUUGUGAAGGAAAAAGUCUUGAAAAGAAUGCCGAGCUGGAAAACUAAAUUGGUCUCACAAGCUAGUAGGGAGAUUAUGGUAAAAAUAGUGGCUUAUGCAGUACCAACUUAUUCCGUUGUCUUAUUUCAAGUUUCCAAAGAAGUGGCUUGAGGUCGUUGAUGCAGCUAUAGCCAAUUUUUGGUGGGGGUAAGCAGAAUAAUGAAGGGAAAGUGCAUUGGAAGAAUAGGGAAAGCUUAACUGAAGCAAAGUUAGAAUGAGGCUUGGGUUUUAGAAAUUUUCAUAGUUUAACAUAACCCUCCUUGCUAAGCUUGCUCGGAGAAUCCAAAGCAACCCCUCAGAAUUCUGGGUGCAAAUAUUUCAAGCGCUCUACUUUCCCCUUUGUAGCUUCAUGGAAGUUAGAAGAGGUGGCAGAAUGUCUUGGGGAUGGAGUAUAGUUUUGGAGGGAGAGAUCUAAUUAAGGAAGGUGGGUUAUGGUAAAUUACUGAUGGGAAGUCAGUCAAAGUUGGGGAGGAUAGGUUGGUGAAGGAGAGUUGAGACUUGAUGCUCAUCCUCUAAUCCGACUCAGGUGAAAAAGUAAUUAAGAAUGGAGUCUCUAAUUGGUGCAGAUACUAGGACUUGGAACUUGACCCCCAUUAAAGACAUCAUACGGCAGGAGGAGCAGUGAUCGGUGUUGAGAAAUCUCAUAAGGUGGAGAAGCUCCGAUGACCAACGAUUUGGCCCCGGAACAGGAGUGGUGGUUCUCCAAUAAAGUCUACCACUUUACUAUGCAGAAAAGAAAGAAACAUCCAAGCCUAGAUCCUCAAACUCUCAUACUAUUGAUGGUAUAGUUUGGAAAUUAGCACGGGUGUUGACUCUCCUCUCACGAUAAGACACUUCCAUUGGCAACUUUGCUCGAAUGUUAUGUCUGCUACUGCUAAUCCAUGCAAAAGAAAAGAAUAAAGUUUCUCUUGCUUGUGUUCUGCUUUGAGAUUAUAUCUGUUGAGCAUUUAUACUCAAUUGCUUAAAGUUGAAAAUCCAAAAAACGAAAUGAUUCAGAUAGCCAAAGGACUCAUCAUUUGUUUAAAUUUGGAAAAAAGAAAAGAAAAGAAAAGACAGAAAAUCAAACUUUUACAUGAAAAGUCAGUGCAACUCAGCAGCAAAAUUUUGUUGCUGUGCAAAGUUGUCUCCAAGUAAAAUUUAGAGGAAGAUAAAUAUUUCUCACGGAAGAGUGGAUGGUAAGCAAGAUGGAAACUUUCCAGAGUUUCACCUCGAAGAGUGAUAAUCCGAUCAGUGACACCUCUCCUUCAUGGAUGGGCUUGUUUUCUAAUUUGAAGUGCUCGUUUUGCGUGCCAAUAGAUUUCAUUGAGCCAUAAAACAGCUCAAAGCUCAUUACCAAUUUCAUACAUAUCUUUGUUUGGUCAUAUCUAAUGUUAGUAACUCUCAAUGUUCAUCGUAAUUUCCCUAGACUUUGCUAUACCCAUCAAUUUACGUUCAUUAACUUGGUGGUGAGAAUAUGUAAGAUUUUGUGUCAUGGACAUAUUACAUCCGUUGUGAGUGUUAGAUAGGCUAUGGUACUAUUGAAUUAGUUUGUGCUAGUUGACACAAGUUUUCGCUCGAGUCUUCUCGUUCAAUUAAGAAAAUUUGAGAUCAAAUUUGAUGGAGUUUGACCCCCGAAGCAAAAAUAUUGAUAUUGCAUAGUCUUACUUUUGCAAUUCCCAACUCCAUUUCUUCGCAUUUAAAUAUUAAGGACAUUUAAAUUUUGGGUAUAAAGUGUUCUCGUCGAACAAAGCAUGGAUCAAAGAGUUUCAUCGGGAUUGGCUCGAUGGAUGGUUUAAUAUGCAAAAAAUGAGCCCUGAAAUCCCUUGAGGUUCCAAAAUCAGGCCUGCGCGAGGACGGCCCUAAGCAAAUCAAACUAGGCCCAAUGAAUGGAAAGGAAGCGCGGCCAUCUAAGGACAAUAAGGGAAAUUCAAAUUGGCCAACACCCAUUUUCGAAGCCCACGCAUAGUUUUUUUUUUUUUUGAACGAAAGGUCGACUUUCAUUACUACUAAAAACCCUUACAACCCGCGGCAAGAGCGUCCGCGCAUAAAAGAUUGAAAAGAGGAGAGGGCAGACGAAUGGCCCAAUUAUCAGACAAAGAUGUGCCCGUAUGGGCCUUGCAAGCCCAGUCAGCAACCGAAUUCGCCUCUCUACAGCAAAACCCUAACUUGAGAUUGGGAAAUAGGGUUAGAAGGAAAGCAGCUUCGGCGAAGAGAGAUCGAUCGCGCCAUGGCGGCUGGGAGCGACGAUUCAGCGUUUCCACAACAGUGAGGUUAUCUGAUUCAACGAUUAGUGCUGCAGUUUGAAGGCCUUGCUGCAAUAGGUGACGAAGCGAGUAAGAGAGGGCUUGAAUCUCGACCUGGAGAGCAGAGACAGCCACGACACGUACGGAGAAGCCAUCGGUAAGUCUACCUUGAUGAUCCCUGCAAAUACAAGCAAUCGUACCAUAAUUUCUCCCUUGAUGGAAAGAACCAUCGAGAUUGACCUUCAAAACUCCGAGAUCUGGAGGACGCCAUAGAUGGGAUCUAUUUCUAAUGGAACUCCUUUGAUGCAGAGAGGGAGAUGAAGAUAAGCGAUCAACUUGGGCGUGAGUCAGUGCCGCCUCUACGACCUGCUUUGGAUUAGGAUAAGAACCGCGGAAGACAAAGGCAUUCCGAGCACGCCAGAUCUGCCACAGAAUGUUAGUAAUGAAGGCCAGCCGGGUUAAGCGAUGGCCGUCGCCAAUCGUUGUCACAAUCCAUGAGUCCAGACGCUGAAUGCGAGUUGGAAGGACUGAAAUCCCAAUCUGUGAGUGAUUCCACACUCUUUGAGUCCAUGAACAGAGUAAGAACAAAUGCUCUAAUGUUUCUGGAUUCUUACUUUUGCAUAAAGUGCAACAAGGAUUGUCUAAUAUAUGUCUGCGAUGCAGGUUUUCUCGCGUCGCCAAAGCAUUACUACAAAGUGACCAGAGAAAGACUCGGAGCUUAGGUGCAGCAGGCAUCUUCCAGAGAUUACGCCAUAACCAGGUAGGAAGUUGAUACGAAGUAGACGCAGUUGCAGUGACUGUACUUAAUUGUGUCUGAUGGAUUGCGUGAUAUGCUGAUUUGACUGUGUAAACUCCCUGUUUAGUUGCUGUCCAUAUAAGUGCAUCUGAAGUGAAGUUAGGUCGAAUUGGAAUGUCUGUGAUCUGUUGAAUGAUUGGCUUGUCGAAAAUGCUGUGUAAUAAAUCAACCUUCCAUGAACUGGUGGUCUGGUCAAUAAGAUCAGCUACUAGUGUAGGUUCAGCAGGGGCUCUAGGUCCACCGAGAAUUCCCAUAGGAAGCCAGCGAUCUUCUCUAAUAUUAAUACAUGUUCCAUCUCCCACAGACCAAGUGAUGUGUGGUAAAAUUGCAUUCCUCCCACAUAAUAAGCUCUGCCAACCCCAUGAGGGCCGAAUACCUUUGUUUGCUUUUAAAAAAGUGGAAGAAUGAUAAUAUAAACCCUUAAAAAACUUACUCCAUAAUGAUAAUGGUUGAUGCAAUAGACGCCAAGCUUGCUUACCAAGCAUAGCAUGAUUAAAACUCACCAGAUCACGAAAACCCAAUCCACCUAGCUCUUUUCUUUGCUGAAGAUUUUUCCAACUCUGCCAAGGAAUUCCAGAUCUACUUGUAUCAUUACUCCACCAGAAUUUUGCCAUUCUUUUCUCAAUAACUUUACAUAAUGAUAUGGGAAUCUUAAACACAGACAUUGCGUAUUGAGGGAUAGAUUGAAUAACUGUCUUUAAUAAAACCUCUUUUCCACCCUUUGACACUAGUUUCUCCUUCCAUCCUUCUAAUUUCAAAUGAACUCUAGUCAACAGCCAGGAAAACAUAUCCUUUUUAGAUCUUCCCCAGUCAGUAGGAAUGCCUAGGUACUUCCCACAGCGCUGUAAAAUUGGUACCCGUAAUGCACCUGCAAGAUUUUCCUGGAGAGAUGUAGGGCAACAAGGACUAAAGAAAACACCAGACUUGUUUCGAUUGAUCAUUUGUCCUGAAGCCAAGCAAUAUUGAUUCAAUAUAUUGGAAAGAUUCUGACACUCCAGCAAGGUACCAUUAAGAAAAAACACUGCAUCGUCAGCGAAAAAGAGGUGCGAUAGAGUAGGACACCAUUGAUUCAGUUGGAUUCCUGUGAGCGAGCCCAUAUUCAUAGCAUUCCUAAUUAGGAAAGAUAAAAGAUUUGCGACAAUGAUGAACAAGUAAGGGGAAAGAGGAUCUCCCUGCCUCAGACCACGGGUUGGGUGGAAAGUCGGUAAAAAUUCCCCAUUCAUUUUAAUUGAGAAAGAUGGCGUGGAAAUGCACUGCAUAAUAAGAUUAACCCAAUGAGAAUGGAAGCCCAAGUGAAGUAAAUAAUCGCGAAGAAAGUCCCAUUCAACACGGUCAUAAGCUUUCUGCAUAUCUAACUUGAGUAUUGCUUUAAAAUGACGCCUACUUUUCCGUGUCUUGAGCUGAUGAAUAACUUCCUGUACAAUUAGAACAUUGUCUUGAAUUUGUCUGCCAGCAACGAACGCACUCUGUUCUUCAGUAAUCAGCAGAGGCAGCAAUGGUUUCAAGCGAUUAGCCAGCACCUUAGAAAAGAUUUUAUAGGCAUAGUUACAGAGACUAAUAGGGCGAUACUGAUCCAAGCUUUCCGGGUUUGGGGUUUUAGGAAUUAGAGUGAUAGCAGUUUUGUUUAAAGAUGGAGGUAGUAUACCAGAAGAAAAGAACUGAAGAACUGCUCUGUGUAUAUCAACUUUGAGAAUUUCCCAAUGUGAUUGAUAAAAUAAGCCACUUAAACCAUCCGGGCCCGGUGCCUUGGAAGCACCUAAUUGAAAGGUAGCAACUUGAACUUCUUCAAGGGUGGGUGGAGCUAGGAGAGUUGCAUUCAUUGUUGCAUCAAUCAUGUGUGGACAUUGGUCUAAAAUCUGUGCAUAAGGUCUAGGCCCAGAGGUAGUAUAAAGCUGAGAGAAGUAGUUAGUGGUCAUUUCUUUAAUGUGUUCAAUAUCCCUAACCCAUUCCUGAGAUUCAUUCCUCAACAUACUAAUUUGAUUGCGAUGCCGUCGUUGAAUAGUGGUAGCAUGAAAGAACUUAGUGUUACGAUCUCCCCAUUGUAACCAGUUGAUCCUAGAUCGCAUCGCCCAAUAUUGCUCUUCCUUCUGCCAUGUUUGCUGAAGUUCAAGUUUAAUCUUUUGUUGCUGGGAUUGAUUCAGUAUAGUAGGAUGCUGGUUUGAUAAAAUCUGUAACUGAUGUUCUAAUUCAAUGGCCUGGUGCCUGUUAUGAGAGAAAACCUGGCGACUCCAAGUAGACAAAGCUGUGGUGACUGCACGUAGCUUUACUGGAAGAGAAGAAUCCCUUGUCGCAGCUGAGUGCCAGGAGGUGUGAACAACCGAUUGACAUCCAGGGUCUUGGUUCCAGAAAGCUUCAAAGGUAAAGUGUUUCUUUCGUCGACUCAAACUGGGUGUGGUGUUAAUAACUAGAGGGCUAUGAUCGGAACCUAUUGCAGGCAUAGCAAACACUUGAGCUUUCGGGUAUGCGACACGCCAUUCAGCAGUGCAAACUGCUCGAUCCAAUCUCUCCUUCACCAAAGCAUCACCAGCUCUAUUAUUGGACCACGUAUAAGCACAGCCAUGAGAAGGUAAAUCCAACAACCGGCAAUCAUUAAGAAGCUCACGGAAAGAAUCAAUGCGGUAAGAGUCUGGUGGACGGGUUCCUAUUUUCUCCCAUCUAUGUAAUAUUUCAUUAAAGUCACCACAGCAUAACCAAGGUAAGACAGAGAAGCUGCUGAACUGACGUAAAGUCUGCCAAAGAUGCUGACGGUGUUGAAAAACUGCAGGAGCAUGAAGACAAGUAAUCCUCAUAGACCGAGCAUCGGAGAUAUCCAGACAAGUGAAGUCCAAAAAAUACUGAGAGGAGGAGAAAUCCGACAGAGAAAGCCCUGCAUUCCAAAAAAUAGCUAACCCCCCCGCCGAACCAACAGGGCUAACCAACCUGUGAUGCAAAAAACCAGAGGAUUUUUUCAAGCGAAGGAUAACAUCAUCAACAUUUUUUGUCUCCAUCAAAAAAAGCAGGUCAGGCUUUUCCUUAGCCAAAAGGGCUUUUAGAGAUAGGACUGUCAGGGGAUUGCCCAAACCCUGACAGUUCCAACUUAUGAUUUUCAUCGUUGAUUGGGUGACUGUUUAGGGCCAGCCACCGUCGCCCGCAGAAGUUCUUCAGAAGCCUCCAUGAUGGGUGUGUCUAACAAGGAAGAGUCGUCAUACAGUCCAGUAGGUUCUUCCGGUAAGGUAUAAGGAGAGUAACGCCUGGGUUUCUUCGCAGGACUGAUCUUACUAAUCGGUCGAAUACUUUUCCCUUUUGUGGCCUGAUGAGUUGAUGGUGGCCAUUGCACUCCUUUCAGUUUCUCUGUAGCUGGAAUGAGAGCAGUGGUUACAGUGUGUUUCUCAGGUGGAGGCAUGUUAGAGGAAUAAUUUCUGGGCAGUGGAUCAAGUGGAGUAGAUUCCUGUGGAGAAGAUGUUAUAACAGGAACAGGCGUUAGAAGAAGUGGAAGGGUGUGAACCGCUGUGGGAGGAGUUUCUGGUAUGAAUUCUUCAUUCUCCUCCUCCAUACAUGAUGAACCAUAGUAACAUUGCUAGUAAGGGCUACAUUUCUGAACUUCUGCUUUUAACCAUGGCCCAUAGGGAGUUUUAUCAGCCUCGGUUAUCAUGUUUUCCUCAAAAGGAAUGAAGGGACAAGAAUCCGUGUAAUGGCCCAGACGUCCGCAGGAAUAGCAGUAGUGAGGUAACCUUUCAUACCUAAAAUCCAACCACAGAGUUUGAUUGUUAAGUUUAAUUAGCCGCCCUACCUUCAGUGGUGUAGAUAAAUCCAAUUCAACACGAGCACGACAAGCUUUCAAGGCAGAACCAGAGGCGAACUCAGAUUUAACUUGCAAAACAGGGCCAACCGUACUAACAGCAGUGCGAAUCAUUUCAGCAGUACUACACUCCAAAGGUAACCCAAUUAUCUGAACCCAAAAUGCGCAUGUUGAAAAGUCAUAGCUGUGUAGAGGGGUGUUAGCAAUCCAGGGUUUAAAAUUGAUAAGAUGUCCUGAGAAUUGCCAAGGUCCAGUGUCAAGAAUUCUCUGUUUUUCAGCUUGAGACUUGAAUUUUGCUAAAUACAGUCCUGCUUCUUUCUGUAUGAUUUCUGCAUGGUCCAACCUCCAGGCCCUCUUCAAGACUGACUGAAAAGCCGGAAAAUUAAAGGAAGGGUUGGAGGGGACUUUACCGAUUAACAGAAGCUUACAUUCCUCAACCGCACCAGGUGUGGGUUCAACUCGCAACUCUGCAAUCUCUUUUUCCGUACUUAAUCGACCAAGUUUAUGACAAAGUGCAGCAAUUCUGGAUGCAUCCGGGUCAUCGUCAAGGGCCAUCGAUGAAAUAGUGGAACUAAUCAACAGAGGGAAGUUGGUAGCUUCGAUAAUAUCGACAUGCAAGAGUAGAUAAGUGAAGAGAAAGAGGAAAAAGUAAGAAAUGGGUAGCGAUUUAGGUGGAUGUAAGACUGAGAGGAAGAGAAGGAUGAUAGAGAACCAUCGACAUGGCAGGAAGAUCAACAGGAGGCUAUAGAAGAGGAGGAACGAUGAAGAGCUCUACCCAGGUGAUAGAGAGGAUCUCGACAAGACGAGACAAAACUUUUUCCUAUCAUCGGUUGCACGGGUGAUCUUUUUACAGCCCACGCAUAGUUGGAAGGUCUUAUUCAGCUGCACACGUCGAAAUUGGAAGAAAAGGCAAAGGAGAAUCAAUGAAGGAAAGGAGCGUGCAAUUUCCACCUUGACAAAGGGAGCAAUCUCGGCAUUCAGGGACCCGAAUUCACCGCCAAAAGAAAACAAGAAAAUCUGAGCACAAGAAAGCAGGGGAUUCUCCGCCAAGAGGGGCGGGGAAUUUUUCAGCAUUUAAUCAUUGCCAAAUAGAGCCCGAAAAAGAAAAAGGAAAAGGAAAGGAUGAAGCUUUUUCUUCACGGCCGAGAAAGAGAAACGCAGAGAGGGUUUCGGUCAACGAAAGAGAGAAGACUAAAAGAAAAAAAAUAACAGAGAAGUGGUCGGCAAAAGAAGAGAAAAAGAGAAACAGAGGAGUCACAUUCUCGUGGAGGAGGUGAAAAGAAAAAAGAGGACAGAAAGAGAGAGCUGUUGGGGCACGCGUGAGGAAGCAACAGAGAGCGAAAGAUGCAAUUUCCCAUUUAAUUUCCUCGAAGUUCACUUUUCCUCUAUACUUUAAUUUCCGAGAAUUUUACUCCUCGCAGUCAAAUUUCUCCAUCAUUUCAUUUAAAGUCUGGCGCACCUUGCACUUGGGAAAAGCCAAAAAUGAAAUCAUUUUAUUACUAUUUUGAAGUUGACCGAUUUUUGUUCAAGUUAGAAUUGAAGUGUGAAAACCCAUUUUAUCUAGAGAAGGGGUGUGUAAAAGUGACCAGUUUGGGAACUUUGUAAGAGCCACCCUCUUCAAAGGAAACUCAUUUUAUGAAGAGUACUCUCACAUUUGAUGGACAAAGAUCACUUGGCAUCUAACUGUCAUUUCUAGAAUACCGGACAAGCAUUUCCUAAACAAUUUUGUAACCACGUGAAACUGUUUAUCCAACUCUUCUUCGUGACAUUCAACCAUCAAAUCCAAGUACCUAGCAAUACUGCAGAAGAGGAAGACCGUGUUUUCUCUUUUCCACGCCUACAACAACCAAAGAUAUUUACAAUCAAUUUUUCUUGCCAUGAACCAGAUUAAAAUGCCAGCUUCGAAUUCCCCUCUCCUCGUUUUAGAUUGCCAAUCUUGGCUAUGCUAAUUAUAUUCCAAGCGCAAAUACUUUUACAUAUCAAUUUCAACUCUUUUAAAACCUUUGGUGAGAGACUAGCGUGAGAAUUACAUGUAUCGCAUAUUCAGGUGUUCACAUUCAUGGAUAGUGACCUAUCUACUCACUCCUUCAAUUUAAAAGAAAAAAAAAUACUAUAACUAUAAAACAAUAACAUAACAGCAUAUUUACCAGAUCAAUAUGAAUUAUAUACAUUCGAUAGACAAAUCGAAGAGUUUGAUGUAUAUCGAAUUUACAUGACGUUGUUGAACAUCUAGAUUUCUUUAAAUACCUAAAAGAAGCUAUGCAAACCCAUACCGACUCUCAUUGUAAAACGCAACUUUUAUUACAAUUAUUAUAUUGAGAUUGGUUCUCUCUGUCGCAUAAAUAGAUUUUAUACAAUAUCAAUCCAAAAAUUCGCCAAGCAGCUAAGCAAAGCAAAGAUGAUGGAAGACUUUGACCUGUUUUCUUUUCCUUUUGACUUUUUCAUUCAAGUAGCUUUUGUCGGUCUUUGCCUUACCUCUUUCUUUGGUUGGGAGAAAAGAAUAGUAAAAUGCAAGGAAGCAAGCAAAGAUGGUAGAAGACUUUGAUUUGUUUUCCCUCACCUCACGCUGGGAAGUAGAUUAUCUAACAACCAUGAUUUGAGAGGUGCGUGCGUCCCAGGCAAUUAACCGUCAAGAUUAAUUUAAAUAUGAGUACUCAUCGCCUCCUCUCCCUACCUAUGCGAUAAGUAACUUUGAAUUAGAAAAGGUAAUUUUCUGCCUGUCUAUUUUUUAGUAAAUCUCAAUGUUGAUAGUCAUUGUUCAAUCAACAAAAUAAGCUUAACUAUUUACGUAAGUAGUACUUUAUAUGCCAACUUUUAACAUAGAAAAAGGUAACACAAUUUCAUAUGGUUAGUAAAUGGUUAGUAACUCAUUAAUCUGACUUGUAAUAUAUAUACAUGAUUAGUUUUUCUUAUAUACGUUGAAGUAACUUUCCCUACAUCUGUGUGUCAGUAACUUUUCACAAGAUUGCAGUGAAAUUUUUGGAGAUGCAAGUGACAUCCGGGCUAGAGUUGAUGACUUAGCACUAAAUUUUAACAAUCACUUAGUAUUGACUCUUACUUAUAACUCAUUAAAUUUAUAUUUUUACUUACAUUCAAAUUCAUUAGGAGUACCAAAAUUUCGUUUUAAUCCAUUCAUGAUAAAAACAUCAAUAAUACUUAGAUCAUUAAUUUACUACUCUCCAUCCAAUCAUUUUAGUAUAUAUAAAUUCAAGCAAACGGAAAUUUAUUUUCCACCUUUUAAAUGGAAACAAGUAAAGUUAUUGUCGAGAUUUAUAUUUCAUGAAACUACUGGUCCUUGAAAUUAUAUUUGAAUGUGUCCAUGUCAUAUCUAAUUGAACAAUCGAUUCAAUUACAUCCUUAAAUAUUUGCCUAAUGUGCGCUGUAAUCUUAUCUCUUAAUUGGUUCUUUUCUUGACCUUUUUAGAAAUGUUCAAUACUGUCUCGUUCUAGUAAUUAGAAGGACAAAUCUGUAUAAUGUCACUUUCUAGGCCUUUCCUCGUCAAGAACAGAUGGUUGUUCUUUACUUUCUACCAGCUUUAGCUACUAAUGUUGAUCCAGCUCUUAACACUUCCAACAUGUGAGAAAUGGUAGUUGGACAUUAUUUAGUAGGAUACAUUUUCAGUUCCGAGGAUGAAGCUUCGGAAAGCUACCUAGAGGAACAGUAUAUUGGCCCAUACACUUCUAUGCUUUCAUCCAACUUAUUUUUCUGUAUAAAAAAGCAAUAAAGUGAUUAUACAAAAUUAAUAUGAUUAGUAACUCAAUUUAUAUAUAACAAAAAUUUCCAUCUACCUAUUAGUAACUAGUAAUUUUUCUAUGCAAUAAAUAAUUAUGGAAUAAAAAAAGGUAAUUUUCUGCCGAGUGUUAGUAAGUCAUACUAUUCAUAGUAAUUUUUCUAGACUUUGCUAUACACAUCAACUCAUGUUUGUUAUCUUAUUGGACUACAUAAGAUUUUAAAUAGUGGAUAUAUUACAUUUGGUGUGAGUGUUAUGCCACUGUUAAACUAGAUUGUACCAAUUGACACCUAAAUUUUCAUUAGAAGACUUCCAUUCAUUUGAUAAGAAAAUUGGAGAUUGAAUUCAACAAAGUUUGACCCCUAAACAAAAAUGUCAAUCUUGCAUGGUCAUGCAUUCGUAAUUCUCACUUCGUUUCUUCGCAUUUAGAUAUCGGGGACAUUUUAAUUUUGGGCAUGAAGUAUUCACAUCAAGCAAAGCAUGGUUCCAUCUGUGAGUUUUCUUGGAAGUGGCCCAAUAGAUGGCUCCAUAUGCAAAAAUGAGUCCUAAACUCACUUGAGGUGCCAAAACCGAGUCCGCGUGAGUCCAGUGACUCCAGCCCCCAAGCUGUAAUCGAACUCAGCCGAAUGGAGGGAUUGGAAGCGUGGCCAUUCAAGGGCAACAAGGGAAAUUUUAAUCGGCCAAUACCCAUUUUCGUGGCCAAUUCCAGUCUGAACUUAUAAGAUGGAAGGUCUUGUUCAGUUGCUGUACGCGUCCAAAUGGAAGAAAAGGCAAAGGAGAAUCAAAAGGAGGAAAAGGGGCGUGUAAUUUCCAUCUUGACAAAGGGAGCAAUCUCGGCAUUCACGGACUGGAAUUCACGGCCAAAAAAACAAAAAAUCUGGGCAUAGAAAAGCAGAGGAUUCUCGGCCAAGUGGGGCAGCGAUUUUUCAGCGUUUAAUCAUUUCCAAAGAUAUCUUGAAAAGGAAAAGGAAAAGGGUGGAGCUUUUUCUGCACGGCCAAGAAAGAGAAACACAAAGAGAGGAGAAAAUAUUCAGUGGUAUGUUUCUCCAAAGGGAGGGUUUCGGUCAAGUAAAGAGAGAAGACUAGAAGGAAAAAAAGAACAGAGAAGUGGUCAGCAAAAGAAAAGAAAAAUAAGAACAGAGAGCAAAAGACGCAGUUUCCGUUUAAUUUCCUCGAAGUUCACUUAUCCUCUGCACUUUAAUUUCCGAGAAUUUUACUCCUCGCAGUUAAAUUUCUCCAUCAUUUCAUUUUAAAGCCCAUCGCACCUUGCACCUGGAAAAAGCCAAAAACAAAAUCAUGUUUAGCACUGUUUUGGAGUUGACAGACUUUUGUUCAAGUUGAAAGUGAAGUGUGAAAACCCAUUUUAUUUAAAGAAGAGGCGUGUAAAGGUGACCGCGUUGGGAACUUUGCAAGAGUCACCGUUGUCAAGAGCCACCCUCUUUAAAGGAAACUUAUUUUGUGAAGAAUACUCGCACAUUUGAUGGACAAGGAUCACUCUGCAUCAAACUGUCAUUUCCAAAAUACUUGACAAGAAUUUCCUGAACAAUUAAGUGACCGCAUGAUAUUAUUCAUCUUCACUCUUCUUCAUAAUAUUCAAUCAUCAAAUCCAAGUACCUAGUAUUACUGUGGAAGAGGAAGAUCACGUUUUCUCAUUUUCACACCUACAACAACCAGAUAUAUUUACAGCUCCGAAUUUCCCCCUCCUAAUUCUAAAAACAAGAUAUGUUUGACAUCAAAUCAAACUCUUAAAAGUUGAAAAAGAGGAAAAGCCUGAAGUCAAUGUAAAGAAACAUCCAUUUAUCUGAUAGGAUUAUGAGCCGAAAACCUCCUUUCAAAUUGAUGCCUAAUAACUGUUUUAUGUCCUUUGGACCAUGAAUAUCUAACAGUAAUAGUGGAUUAAAAACAUUAAUUCAUAAAACAAUGUUGCAACUUGUUAGAUAUAUUUGUAAUGGACUCUUCUGCAAAUUACCUAAUCAUUCACACAUGCAUUGGAUUACAUGUAUGUUGUAUAUGGUCCAAUUUUGUCUAGAAUCAUGAAAUUGUGUAUCUAUUCUACUCUAUAUUAGUUUAGGUUCUAUAUAAAUGAUUGCAACUACUUGUGUAGUGCAUUCUGAUGAUGUACAAAGACCUUCGGUUUAUCAGUCUCUCACCAACAUAACCAUUCAAUCGAAACUCGCCACCAUCCACUUAGACAGUCUCCGCCAUGACCCAUUUUCAAAGACUUUGAAUCCUAAAAUCACGUUGUUGAAUCAACCUCAACUACAACUCAACUCCAAUAUGGACGAAAAGCUCACAUGUCGGGACGACACAACUCAAUCCAAAUCUUUGCCUUCGUAGCUUGCCACCCUUUGGUGCUUAUUUCUCAAUGAACCACCCAUCAGACAAGUGACCCUCCUCCAAGUUGAACACUAGAAACCAGUUUUGCUGGAAUUGAUCCCACAGCCAAAUGUCUUGUACCAAAGUCGUUCUUCGGUUUUAUUAAAAGGGGCUAGUAUUUUGCAUCAACUCCACACAGAUGAUAUCUCAUGCAAAGAGGAAUCGAACUCCUUUGAUUUAAACAACACUAUACAAUUCCGGGCUAAGUUGGAUUUUAAUCAAUAACAAAGCCCAAAAGUUACGAGAUCAGUCUCAAACUAUGUCGGAAUUCAAUCGAGAACAUAAAUUGAGGAUACUGAGAUACAAUGUCAGAAUUCAAUCGAUGAUGAAGCAAGAUAAAGAUACACAUUGGAAUCUAAUCGACAACGCGAAUUCGAGAGUUAUAUAGCUAAGGAAAUUUAAAAUACAAUGUAGGAAAGUAAAGAUACUAAGAGAUAACAUUUUAUUUUACUUGUAUAAGGAGUCUUCUUGUUGGAAAGCUAGUGGUAUUUAUAUUGAAAGUGUAGUAACUGCUCCUCGACUAUGCUUAGUGGCUGUAUUUCUAAUGUAAAUCUCUAAAAACUUGUGAUCGGCAUAAGUAGAGCAACUAGGGGAGUAGAUGGAUUUUAUGAAUAAGGACAAAGAUGAAAAUUUGGUAAACUUUAUUACAUGGCUAAUCUUGGCUAUGUCGAUAUAUAUUUAAAGCAACAGAUAGCUUUCACAUAUCAACUUCGACUUUCUUCAAACCCUUGAUGAGAGACUAUUGUUAACAUUACAUGUAUUGCAUAUUCGCACACACACAUUCAUGAAAAGUAUAAUUACAAAACAAUAACAUUACCACGUAUGCUAUUUGAUAAAUAUGAGUUAUUUAGAAUUAAUAAACAAGUUGAAGAGUAUGAUGUAUACUGAAUUUAUGUAACAUUAUCGGAUAUCUAGAUUUUCUUAAAAUAUUUAAGAAAACCGUGCAGACCCCAUAUUAAAUCCCAUAGUUAAACACAAAUUCCAGUAUAAUUAUUAAAUUAUUAUCGAUUUUCUCCGUAGCAUCGGUUACAAACCGUGCAAGGCGGUGGAAGACUUUUGGUUUGCUUUCACUCGUCGGAGCCUUUCUUUUCCACUUCUCUUUCGAGAGGAUUUUGUCGGCUUUUCCUUUUUCCAGCUAAAAAGCAAGAUGAUGAAAGACUUUUUGACUUACUUUCUCUCGUCGUUGAGUGGUCCUCGAUGAUGGGGACACCCUCAUUUCAUGUGCCCUUCCUUCACGUUCUCCUUUUCUGGGCCCCGCUGGUUGUGUGACAAUGUUUGACUUGGAAGCGGGCAUUCGGAUCGAACGGCUGAGGAUGAUUCCAUCUGGAGCAGGAGGGAAUUAAGGCCGGGAUCGAGGCAUGCUUAGAUGCAACUCUCACAUUUCGCGAUUUAUUACCACUAAUCCAUGACAAUGGCACUUUCGUAAUAGUAUUGUUAAACGUGACUUUCUUCUCUUCUGCACUGCUUUUUCUCUCUCUCUCUCUUUCUCACUCUGCGCGGAGCUCUCAUUCUUGAAUUCUCGCACAUUCACGCACUCCCUUAGCCUUUUCGACUCUCUCGCUCUUCAGUCUGCUGGAAAACAUGGCGUUUUCCGGCGAACACCGACCUCUCGACUGCUCUCUCCCUCACGACCUCACCUGCGAGACUCCCUGCCCCAGCCUCAAGCUCUACUUCCUCAUCGGAAUCCUCAGCCUCUCCGCACUCUGCAUCGCUCUCCUCGUAUACCUCUGCGUCCUUCGCAGUCGGAUCUCGAAGAAGCGCGAAGUGCCAGCAAAAGGGACGAAUUCUCGGGAAUCAGUUGGACCUUCCUACGAGGUUUUUCUAAGUUUUCAUGGACGAGACACUCGUCAUGGAUUUACCGAUUUUCUUUACCGUGGCAUGGUUGAGACCGGGAUCCUCGUCUUUAGGGAUAAUGAAUCCCUGCAUGUCGGUCAAAGAAUUGGCGAUGAACUUCUACAAGCCAUCCGAAACUCCAAGAUCUACAUUCCCAUAUUUUCCAAGAAUUAUGCGUCAAGUCACUGGUGCCUUCGAGAGCUUGCACACAUGGUUGAGUGCGCCUCCAAAUCGAAUGGGAAUAAAGAGAUUUUGCCCAUUUUCUUGGAUGUGGAGCCUGAUGAUGUCAAGCUGAAAACAAACUUAUACAGCAAAGCCCUUUCAAAGCAUCAGAAAAAGUUUUGCACUGAAGUUGAAUCAUGGAAAAAGGCUCUUGUUAAUUUGGACAAGAUAAAGGGAUGGAACUUGAAAACAGAUGAAAGGUAAAUGUCUUGAACUUUUCAACUUGUCAUCCAUAGGUUUCCUUUUCCUCCCUAGUUAGUUUAAUUGUGGUAUCAUUGGUGAAAAUAUAGUUUAUUCAUCUCACCAAUCCUAUCCAGUGUAACUUGUGGUCGUGGCCGUUGUCGCUGCUGCUAUCGACCACAGUGACCGGUAUCAACUCUAUCGUAGGCUUCGAUGGUUCUAUUGCGGUGGUAGUGCACCCUAUUCAUCCUAGUUUUGUCUCUCCUCACACACAGUCUCCAAUACAAUAGCCACCGAGCCACUGACCAGCCACUGCAGCAGGUCGACGGUCAUUCGCCACCACUUCUUCGUCGCCGGUCGGCACCAAGCUGCCAGAAGCCGCCGUUGAGCCUUCCGGCCCCCACCAUUUCUCCCUUUGACUCACUGUGAUGAGUCGGAUUUGUGCUCAGGAGGCCAUUUCCGACAUCACAAAGCCCAUAUCCGGAGUCGCCGACCUUCGGUAACCCCAAAUCUGGUGUUGCCCAAGGCUGGUGACGCCAUCCUUGGCGGUCGCAAGGCCACGACCCACGUGAAGGGGAGGAAUUGAGGCAAGGCCCAGAGGGGCAGGUCAAUAGGGCUCAAUGGGCAACGGCGCUGGAACGUGACAGCGACGGCCCAGGGAGGUGAGUGAUGUCAACGGCAGCGAGGCAGUGGCAGGGCCAACGGUGUGGUGACUGAAACUGGCGGAGCGGAGAUAGAAUGGGAAAAAUCCAAAAUGUUUUGGCGUCUAUAUUAUUUUUUCUUUUUUCUUUUUGCAAAUCUAAAUAUAAAAUUUACCCAUAACCCGGUUGUUACAUUUUUGCAGCCAAGUAGAUCUGAUACGAUCUAUAAUUCAAACUGUGUUGACAAAGCUGAAUGUUGGAUUUAAAAAAAAUGUGACUGAAGAUCUAGUUGGAGUCGAUGAUCGUGUAGAAGCUAUAAUCAAAAUGUUGCAUGUGGGAUCCAAUAGCGUACAAUUCCUCGGACUCUAUGGAAUGGGUGGGAUUGGCAAAACAACACUUGCCAAGGUCAUCUUCAACCAACUAUCUUCUCAAUUUCAAGGCUGCAAGUUCCUUUCGGACGUCGGAGAAUCAUCACGACGCCAUGGUCUGGUACAUUUGCAAAAACAGUUGCUAUCCAAGUUCCCCGAGUCUCGUUCUAUCCUCGACCAAAUUCAUGACGUGGAUGAUGGGAUCAACAUGAUCAAGAGAGUACUUUGCAAUAAAAAAGUUCUCGUUGUUCUUGACGACGUGGAUGAGAGAGAGCAACUCAGAACUCUAGCAGAUAAAGGUGAUUGGUUCGGUUUUGGUAGUAGGAUUAUCAUAACUACUAGGGACCAAAGAGUUCUAACCAUUCAGGCAAAAGCAGUAGGUGAAAGCCCUACAAAUAUUUCGGCUUACGAAGUAUAUAAAAUGGAAUAUGAUCAUGCUCUUAAGCUUUUCAGUAGGCAUGCCUUUAGAAUAGACUCUCCACUAGAUCAUUAUAUUUCCAUUUCCAAAAAAAUUGUCCGUGCUUUAGGAAAUCUUCCUUUAGCUAUUGAGAUUAUAGGUUCAUCCCUUAAUGGUAAAUCCGAAGCUUUAUGGGAAGACACGUUGAAGAAGCUAAAAGAAGCUCCUCCCAUGGAAGUCCAAAGAAAAUUGAUGAUAACUUACGAAAGGUUAGAUGAUGCACAAAAGCAAGUAUUUUUGGAUAUAGCUUGUUUUUUUCUUAAUGAGGAUAAAACAAACCCUUCCUACAUGUGGGAUGCUUGUGGAUACUACCCACACAAUGCCCUUGAAGUCCUCUCUCUCAUGUCCUUGAUAAAAAUCAAGGAUGACAAUACUUUAUGGAUGCAUGACCAAGUGCGGGAUCUCGGAAGGGAAAUCGUUCGUAAAGAGAAUGUUGAUGAUCCGUGCGAGCGUAGCAGAGUGCAUGAUCCUAAGGAAGUGCUAAGCAUUUUGAAGCAGAAAGAGGUAUGAAAAGGGAACAUCAAUUUAUUUUAUUGUGAACUGUUGUAAAUUAUUCUUGUAAAAAAAAAAUUAAUCGCUAUUAACAAUUGGAAUUGUUUGCCUUUGAGCUUCACCAUGUGGACUCCUUUGUGUUUCCAUUGUCAGGGGAGUAGGAAAAUUAAAGCACUGUCACUUGGAUUUCUCGAAGACACUUUGGAAGACAUAAUUUUAAAGCAUGACGAAUUUGCUUAUUUAGAGAAGCUGAGGUUCUUUCGAGGAUAUCGCGUGUCCUUUGUUGGAGACUUCAAUAAUCUUCUUUCCGAUUUAAAAUGGCUUUCUUGCAAUUCCUCAUUUGUAUUUGAGGCAAAAAACUUUCAUCCAACUAAUUUAGUCGUUCUUGACCUUUCAAGGAGCAACAUUUCGGAAAAAGAUAUUGAUUGGAUCAAAGUACGAUACGAGUCUCACUCCUCACUCCUUGUAUCCAUACAUCAUUUCUUUUUAUUUUUUUUAUAGGUCAUUUCUCAAUAAAUAUUAUUGUUUUGCAGGCGGCAAGGAAACUAAAAGUCUUAGAUCUUAGACAUUGCUAUUACUUAAGGAGAGUGCCCGAUUUAUCUAUGUUGGUGUCUUUGGAGAUUUUGAGAUUACGUUAUUGUUCAAAGAUAAAGAAACUUCCAGACUCGAUUGGGAAAUUACAAUCAUUAAUUGAGUUGGAUUUGUUAGGAACGAAUAUUGAUCACCUACCGGAUUCAUUCAGCAAUCUAAAGCAACUAACAACACUUAGGAUGAGGGACAUUAAGGGAGGGUUGACAAAAUUACCUAGUGCGAUCUGGUUUGUUCAGUUAGUGGCUUAUUCUUUUUCGUCCCACGAUAAUGAGCUGUACUGUUUGAAAAUGCCAGACUUGUCAUGGACCCAAAUAUUUGGAUUACCCACCGUGGCGAGUCUCGUCUCUAAUAUCCGUGAACUUCGGAUGGACGCGUGGUAUAGCAGACGGCCCAACUUUUACCCCGAUGAUAAGCCGGAGAAUUUCACUUUUAAUUGCGAGUCCCUCGAGUGUAGCAAAUCUCAGAGGGAAAAACAAAUAUUGGCCUCCCCAAACAUGUGGUUCCUCCACCAGCUCCCGUCUAGUUUAAGAGACUCAGUAUUUCGAGGAGUGUGGAGUCUGGGUUUCUGUCGUUAUUGGAUGCCGAUAUUCGUUGGUAUAUGUGAUUCGGAGUCGGAGAAACUCCAUCUGCAGGAUUCCACGCUUUCAAGACGGAUUGAACAGUGUUGGCUGAGAAACAGGAAAUUCCCGUCCAGAUACCGUCGGAGGAUUCGUCGACAGCGGCAUCAGCCCACAAAAGCACUUGAGCCGUCGCAUAUGAAGAAUCUGCGAGAGGUAGAUCUGUUCGAAUGCGAGCUACUAGUCGAGAUUCGCGGCCUCGAAGAAUUGGGAUCCCUUUCAUCCCUUGCGGUCGCAUAUUGUAGGUCGAUCGAAAGGAUGCCAGACCUAUCGAAAUCGAGGAAGCUAAGGGAGCUUCGAGUGGGAAAAUGUCCGAAGCUAAGAAGCAUGGAAGGUUUGGACCGCUUGGAAUCUCUAAAGUGUUUGCGGAUUCACGAUUGCAGGUCUUUGGAGAGUCUGGUGGACACCUCGAAUUUGGAUUUAGAAUGUUGCCUGAUUGUCCGUUGCAAGCGGUUGCCCCACCGUGACAAUUAUUGUAAACGUGGCCAAGGUUGCUAUUGUGAGAUGCUUUUCGAGGGGUUGAGGAAAUCUGACCCGAUGGAAGUCCAGCAAGUAUUACAGGGACAUCCGGAUGUUGCGCCAGUAAGGAAUUUAUAACGUGGCUUGGUUGUUGUGCUUGGUGUAGCCAUUUUGUUUGUUUUGUUGUUGUUCUGUUGUUUUGUUCUGAGAAAAAGGCUUUCUCCCGGACAAAUAUUGGUGAUGAAGCUAAGGAAGUGAACGAGGCACGCUCAUAUGAUGCCAAAACGUUGUCCAAUUUUGAUCAGCUUUUGAACAUAGUACUCAGUUCAUCGAUUGCUGUCCAAACAUGAAGCUCUUGGCUUUUUUAAGGAUAGAGUCUUGACAAGGAUGCCUAGCUGAAAAUCUAAAUUGUUGUCACAAGCUGGUAGGGAGAUCAGGUAAAAACAGUGGCUUAUGCUGUGCAAACUUACUCCAUGUCUUAUUUCAAGUUUUGAAAGAAGUGGCAUGAAGAAGUGGAUGCAGUUAUAGCCAAUUUUUGGUUGGGAAAGCUUAACUGAAGCAAAGUUAGAAUGAGGUUUAGGUUUAUCACAGUUUGACAGAACCCUCCUUGCUAAGCUUGCUUGGAGAAUCCAAGCAACCCCUCGGAAUUUUGGGUGCAAAUAUUUGAAGCGCUCUACCCUUUGUAGCUUCAUGGAAGUUAGAAGAGGUGGCAGAGUGUCUUGGGGAUGGAGUAGACUUUUGGAAUGAGAGAUCUAAUUAAGGAAGGCAUGUUAUAACAAAUUGCUAGUGGGAAAUCAGUCAAAGUUGGGGAGGAUAGGUUGGUGAAGGAGAGUUGAGACUUGAUGCUGCAUCCUUCAAUCUGACUCAGGUGAUAAAGGAAUUAAGAAUGGAGUCUCUAAUUGAUGCAGAUACUAAGACUUGGAACUUAAACCCCAUCAAGGACAGCAUGCGGCAGGAGGAGCAGUGACUGGUGUUGAGAAAUCACAUAAGGUCGAGAAGUUCCGAUGACCAAAUGAUUUGGCCCUGGAACAGGAUUGGUUGUUCUUCAGUAAAGUCUCUACCACUUUACCAUGUAGAAAAGAAAGAAACAUCUACUAAAGCCUAGAUCCUCAAGCUCUCAUACUAUUGAUGGUAUAAUUUGGAAGUUAGCACAGGGAGUCGACUCUCCUCAAGAUAAGACACUUCCUCUAGCAACUUUGCUUGAAUGUUGUGCCUGAUGCUGCUACAUGUGCAAAAGAAAAAAAUAUAGUUUCUCCUGGCAAUGGUGCCCUUAAAAGUUUGUGGCAACAAACUUUCAUCCGACUAAUUUAGUCGUUCUUGACCUUUCACAGAGCGAUGUUUCAGAGAAAUGGAUUGGCUGGAAUCAAAUCAUAAUAUAGUACGAAUCUCACUCCUUGCAUACAUGUUUCAUUCCUUGUCGUUUUUUUUUUCCUGCAAAUAAUUUCUUAGUAUAUAUUUUGUUUUGCAAGUGGCAAGUAAACUAGAAGUACUAGAUCUCAACAAUUGUGAAUACUUAAUGAGAACACCUGAUUUAUCUAUGUUGGUGUCCUUGGGGAGAUUGACUCUUGAAGGUUGUCACAACUUAAUUGAAAUUGACCCAUCCAUUGGUAAAUUAAAGCUCCUAACUGCUAUGAACCUAAAGGGAUAUGACUCUUGUCAAGAGUUACCUGAAGAGAUAGGAUAUCUACAAGCUUUGGCAGAGAUUGUCAUGCCUAAUACCCUACAUGAACUUUCGAAGAGAUUUGGUAAUUUGCGGUCAUUGUUGACCUUUGAUGUAUCGCAUAGGCAGAUUAGCAAACUGCCAUACUUGAUUGGAGAGCUAGUGAAACUUAGGCGGUUGAUUUAUCAGGGUGUACAAAGAUAGAGGAACUUCCAGACUCAGGUUUGGAAAUUACAAUCCUUAGUUGAGUUGGAUUUGUAAUUGAUAAUAUUUGUGGACCUUAAAAAGAUUUAAAGAUUGACAAGUUUCCUCUGUUAUGUGCAGUGAACAAGAAGCACCACUCUCCAUUUUUGAGCGAUGAAGAAUGGCGUUUCGAUAAAAUAGCCAAAGAUGGCGGUCUAUGCAAGCACAAGAAUUUGAGUGGAAUCAACACUGUUGUAGAAAAAAGAAUAAGGGAAGCACAAGCAGUUUGCGACUGCAUUUAGUUACCAAAUUACCAGCCAUCUUCACUAGCAGUCAGAUAAGCACCGAGGAUGGUACUCCUCAAAGGAUCGAACUAGUGGAUGGCAAGACCAAUGAGAGGGUUAUGAAUGGCUCUCUAUCUUCCAUAAAGCUCAAAAUUGUCAUCCUUGAUGGCGAUUUCAGGUCAGAUGAGGGAGAGGAUUGGACCGAGAAGGAAUUCAAUUACAAUAUCGUUUGCGAAAGGGAUGGGAGAAGGCCAUUGAUAACCGGGGAGCUAAAUGUGAUCUUGCAAGGGGGAAUUGGUUGCCUCCGUAAUUUAAUCAUCACUGACAGCUUGAGCUGGAUGAGAAGUCGGGAAAUGAGCUCGAGUUGUUCAAAAGGUUUGUGCAGAAAUAAGAAUAAGUGAAGUGAGUGAAACUUUCAUCGUUAAAUAUCAGCGAGGAGAGUGUAAGUUUGCAAUGCCUAUCAUUUUAUGAUAACAAUUAAUUUCCAACCAUCAACUCUGUAUGUGGACCUUAGAAAGACUGACUGACAAGUUUUCUCUGUUAUGUGCAGUGAACAAGAAGCACUAUCCACAAUCACUGAGCGACGAAGUAUGGUGUUUGCAGAAAAUAGCCAAAGACAGCGCUCUGCACAAGUGCAUGACUUCGAGAGGAAUCAACAUUGUUCAAGAUUUCCUCCAGCUGUACAAAGUGGAUGCACCUUUCUAAGAAACAAAGUGACUCUUACUCUUCGAGCACUGCUAAUUUCCCUUUUUUCCAGUUCACGUUAUUCUAAGCAUUGUUCAAUAUCAAAUCGUGCUACUUCUUUUGUGUGCGAUGUUAUAUUAGGUACUUGGAAAUGAAAUCACCAAGCGGACAUGGGAGACAAUUGUCAAACAUGCCAGCCCCUGUGUGAUCAACGAUAACAUGUAUUUCUACCAAGCUUUGAACAAGGCCAGUAUAGUGUUCAAUUCGGUCAUGAAAGUUGCUCAAGCAGCACCCGAUGGCCAAAUUUACCAGUGGGUUGACAUAUUGGCCCACUCUCAGAAGGUACAUAAAUCAUAAACCGAAACAUCUCCAUCUAGUAGCUGAGUGUGAAUCUAUCUGGACCUAUAGAAAGGGCCUGUAUUUAUCGGAUUAGUCUGCUUCCAUGGCAGAAUAUAUACUGCAAGCACUUCUCUUUAAAAAGUACCCGUUUGAUUUUGGACUUGAUUGAACCCGCUGCUCGGUUGACAGAUUUUGUUGCAGAACUUGAAAUGGCUAGCUUACGAUAACAACAAUCAAUGGUGGCGCUUGAUGCCCUGCCCAGCAUCUCUCUUCUGAGAGCCCCAACCAAUUUGCCUACAGAGCCGUCAAUUGGCCUGAGCCUGCCUCUUCAUCAUCUAGUUUACACAGAGCUAAACCAAGGUAUUGUGGUAUUACAUCACUUCCAUCUAUCUUUUCCUUUUUGGCCUUCUUGAUCUUUCACAGUUUAGUGUUCCCAUUUCUUUAUUGGCACAUCCACCUUUAUGCACGUCUAUGGUAGCUGAAACUGAAAUGCAUCAUUAUUCAGAUAGACCAGAAGUGACUCCUGAAUUUAGUUACUCACUGGUUUCAGCAUCAUGCUGCUACAAUGUCACAAAGAUCAGACAAUUAGGUUGUCUGGGGCCACAGUCAUAUCACUACAAAAAUCUUUGAUCCGACUGUAAUUCAACAGCUUGGCAAGGGAGGACUUUUUGUCCAGUUUGAGUGCUGGCGAAAGCAGUCAUCUUCCUGGUUACACACAAGAUCUGUUUGCGCCAAACAUCCAUUUGUCUCCUGAGGAGCUUUUCCAAGUGCCAUCUCCAAUCCCUGGCAAUUUAAUGUGGACACCGGAGCAUACUUUCAUCAUUGAGUCGAGCAGCAGGGCAGAUUUUGGGAUCUGCCCAUCUCGCACGGGUUAUGGAGUCCAUAAUUCUAGGAUUGCAAGGCCCAAGGUGGCAUGGUGCAAGAUCCGUGAUGUGGUGAAGUGGGGAUUGGUUCAGCGCGUUGGGGCUGCAAAGAGAAGAGCAAUGUUCAAUUGUGCAAGUUAUCCAGCUGUAUAAAUGGAGAGUUCCAUCCCCCAAACAAAUUUUGGGUGCUUCAGGAGCGCGAAGCUCUCGCCCACACAAGCCAGUCACCACAUGCGAAGUUCAAAAAAGAAGGAAAUUCGUGAUACUUGAUGCUAGGAGAUUGUCUUUGGGGGUAUGAGAAUGUCUAAUUCUAGGGGUAAGCUGCCCAGGAUGCAUCAUCGACUUAGUAUUAUGCAUGAUCACUGCAAUUUUCUCUAUUGUUUUUUGUUGAUUGUCCUUUCAUAUUUGAAUGAAGUUGUGCACCAUCAAGAUGGGGCUGCCAAUUGGACAUGUCUUCUCUCUGUAGGCCACGCAAGCUGAUCUUAGGAAGUACCUCAAUACAGGGGUUCUUCCUCAAGAAUUGUAAGGCUUUUGCUCUCUUCUUCAAGAAUUGUUUGGCAUUCUGUUUGUCCCAAAUACAUCAUCCCUUGAUUUGUCAGUUUACUACUCUGAUAUGCUUAGUAGACUUUUCUUUGCUUUACAAAAUUUGUGAGUAUAUUACUUAGUUUGCGAGAUCCAAAGUUUCUCCUGUCAGCUUUGCUCUUAUUGAUCUGAAAUAUUAUAUGGUAACCAUUAGUCACAAAACCCACAAUCUUGACGGUAUAUAGUCAAGGUUCUUCUAUCGCCAAUGUGGGACCUUCUUUUCCAUCUAACAUUCCACCGAGUUCUUGUAGGCUUGGAUCUAAGACCGCUUCGAGACUAUUCCAGAGAAUAUUUCUGGGCGAGAAAAGAGAUGAAUUUUUCUCUUUCUAAAUUGUGCAGUUUUGCUUUCAUCUGCGAAAAAUUGAAAUGGAAACAAUCCAUCUUUAUCAUUGAAAAUAUGCAAGAUGUGCAAAGUUUCCCAUUUGAUCAAUGAAAAGUGCUUAUUUGAUUGUGAUAGUGAGUUCUAACGGAAGAAAUAGGGAGAACCAAAAAAGUAUCCUUGGGCAGAAAGUAAGAUCCGAAUACGAACUUGUAAAGAAAAGAGUGUACCAGCAAUCUAGGACGUUGCACACAUGUGCCACGUACCUAAAAUUGUCGAUGGUGUUAAGCAUGUUUUAGUUCCUAAAUCUGUCAUAGGUAACAGCGGUGAAAAAUGGAAUUCUUCUCUUGUAGGGCAAGGUCUUGGCAAGAAAGAGUAUUGGAUUUAUUUCCACUGCAGUGAAUAUGUUGUGGUGACGAGGAGAUUGAGAACGGAAUGUUCCUUAUGAACCUUUCCUCUUCCAGAACAUUGCGCACUAUCUUCUUGUGCUAAGAAAAUGGAAGCCUGAACUGCAAAGUUAGGAGGUCUCUUAUGUGAAAACUGUUGUCUAGGCUAAGCUGCAGAGCGUUCCUCUGUAUCUUCUGACAUUGGAGGGAAGUCUUGACGGCUUUUUCAAGAGUGAGAAAGGCCUAAGGCAGGUCAAUCCUUUAUUGCAUAUUUUUGUUAUGGUGAUGGAGGUUUUCCCAGAACUGUUCAAUAAUUCUGCAAGUCAUGGCAAAUCAAAAUACCAUUCUCAGUGCUCUAAGGGGAAACUUGCUGACGAUUUGAUGAUAUUUUCCAAAGGGGAUAUGGAUUCUUGAAUGAAACUAUUGACUUUGUUUCAGAGACUUAAGCACACGUCAGGUCUUAGUAUUAAUCCCCUUAAGACAGAGAUAUAUAUGUAGCUGGUAUUAAGUGGCAGCUAGUGGAUGAUAUACAUCUCUUGGUGGCUUGGCCAAAUGCCAGUUAGAUACCUUGGCCUUCCCCUGAUUUUGGGAAGGUUAAGAGAUAGAGUGUAAGCCUUUGGUGGACAAGAUUACUUUUCGAGUGAGUCCUUGGACAAUUAGGCAACUCUGUUGCGCUGAAAGAUUGCAACUAGGGGUGUGCAACGGGAACCGCCCGAACCGAGAACCGGCCGGACCAGACCGAACCGGCCGGUUUUGGGCGGUUCCCAUGGUUGGCGGUCCGGUUCCCGGUUCCUAAUCUUGGAACCGGUGGCCGGUCGGUCCGGUUCCCGGUUCUAAGGUGGGAACCGGACCGAACCGGACCGAAACAAAUUUUUUUAUAUAUAAUUUAUAUACAUAGAAUUAAUAAAUUAUAUAAACAUGAUAACUUAUUGCAACUAAAAUUGUAAUUUGAGGUAGCAUCAUCUUAUGUGGCCAAGAGACCAUUAAAACUAUUUUUAUUACUCUUUUUUUAUAGAAAAAAAUCUCCUUGUUAGUUUUUGUUGGAAAUAUGAUUUGUUUUUUUAUUCUAAUUAUCUAAAUACAGUUAAUUGAUUCUAUGAAUCCAUGAUAUUGGAUAUUAGGACAAUAGUAUAGGAAACAACAUAUUUUGUAUAUUCUUUCCUAUCGUACUCUUUUCUUGUAUUAUUAAUAGGUGUGUAAUACAUGUACAAACACAGCAAUACACAAUACAGAAAAUUCCUCCAAUUCCUUCUCAGUUUUUGUCAAUUUUCUUUCUCAUUUUCUAUCAGUUUCAUCUUCUACUUGAUGUGGGACUAAGGUUCCAAGAGACCCACAAGGCACUUCAAGCCUCCAACAAUCCCACAUUGACUAAACAUUUAAAGAGCAGAGAUUGUCUAUAAAAUCUAAGCCAUGCAUAACUUUUAGCCAAAUUAUUCACGGCUUUCAUGGUUAAAGUUAAGUGUGAAACACACAAAGUGUGAAUCACAUUUGAAUAUUUUGCACAUGGAAACAUGUGUGAUUAGUUUUGUUGAAUUGCUCAAAAACCGAAUUGGAUUGAUCGGUCCGGAGCGCGGUCACUCUUUUGUGCAAAAAAGUAUAGUCGAUUUUGUUGGACCGGACCGGACCGGACCGGAACCGAUGGUCGGUCCGGUUCCCGGUCUUAGGACCAAACGGUCCGGUCCACGGUUCACAAUUUUGGGAACCGGUGCUCCCGGUCCGGUUCCCGGUUCCAAGGUGGAACCGGACCGAACCGGGAACCGAUCACCCCUAAUUGCAACUCAUUGAGGAAGUAACAGCUUGGUGAAUUUUUGGAGUCAAAUUUUUUUGUUGCCAAAAAAGUUAUCAAUAUGAUGGAAAGCAAGUGUAACCCUUUUGGAAGGGAGAAUCUGAAAACGCUCGAGGUUCAAAAGUUGCCUGGAUGAUGCAUGUCUCCCCAGGUUUAAGGGUGGUUCAGCAUUGAGGAAACUAGGGCCUUGAAAUCUUGCUUGUCUAUUGAAGAACUUAAGGAAAUUUUGUUGCAGGUUGGAUCCAUUCGGGUGGCCUGGCUUAGCCGUUUCUUGCUUAAAGGGCAGUCUAUUUGGGCAAUGAAUCCAACUGGCGAGAGCAGCUAUGCUUGGAGAAAGUCUACUUGAAGCAAUGUAAAUUAGUAUAUAAUAUAUAGUUUCAUUUAAAAUUGAUAUUUGAAAAUUUGAUGGAGAAACGCGAACUCAAUUGUAAUUUGCAUUGCAAAGCAUGGCUUACGUUGUCACUUUUCUUCUUGUCCCAUAUAAAACUCGACCUCACUUACAACGUGGUUUUGAGAAGACUUUUUGAGAUUUACUACUUGUCAUGUCUUACACACAAUGGAUGAUGAGAUUGGAAAAAUGCAAAGUCAAGAUUUUCAAAUUAUGAUAUGGGAAAUCUAUUCUUAACUUUUCAUCACCAAUAUAUGAAGAUUACCAGAAGCCCACCGGACUAGAUCUUUGCUAGAAAUGCAUUUCCUCAUAGGGUGCGAACGAUAAUAGUUUUGUUUCUCUAUUUUUCUUUUCUCGAGAAUAGGUUUGGAAUAGAAAUCCGUUUGGUGAUGUAAUUUCAUUUUUUUAUCUUCAGAACAAAUUUUGCACCUAGAAAUAGGUUUGGAAGAAAAAUGAGAAGUAUAAAUUUUCUACUUUUCUCUUUCUAGAACAAAAAUAGAAAUAAAAACUUUUAAGGUGCGUUUGGUAAUCAUUCUGUUCCGGGGAAUAAUUUUUUAACAUAAAUAGUUUUUUUUUUGUUUUUAUUUCAUGGAACAAUUUCUGAGUAUAAGAACGCGCUUGGUAAUUGCAAAAAAAUUAUAUUCCAGGAAUAGAAAUACGUUUGAUAAACUUGUAUAAUUUUGUUAUUUCUUUUUAAUUUUUUAAUAUUUUUCCUUUUUUUCUUUUUUUUUUCCUUCUUUAUUCUUUGUAACCGGUGGCCGGCGGCUGGCGACCGGCGAGGUCCGACGAGCUUGCCGAAGCUUCACCAGGCCACUGCGAGGGCCGGCGAGCUCGCCGGAGCCUCACCAGGCCACCGCGAGGCUCAGCCUCACUAGAUAUGGGCCUCGCCGGUGGCCUCAAUAAAUAGGUGAGCCUCGCCAAGCCACCGGCGAGGCUCAAGCUUGCCCAAGCGACGCGAGGUCGGCCUCGCCUUGGAGCUUGCCCAGCCAAGGCGAGGCCGAGCUCGCCCAACCACCGGCGAGGCUCGGCCUCGCCAAGCCGACGUUGGGCAACAUCGCCUGCCAGUGGCCUGGCAACUCUCUGGAGAGGUUGUCGGCCCUCUACGGCCGGUCACUGACCAUGGCCGAGGCCGGCGACCAGCCAAAAGGAAGAAGAAGGAAAGAAAAAAGAGGAGAGAAAAUUUGUUUCUCAAAAUUGUUCCUGAGAUUGAUCUUGGGAACAAGAAGUUACUCUUUUCUACUUCUUGUUUUUGUUCCAAAUCUGUUCUCGGGAACAAAAGUUUUACCAUGUUUCUAUUUUAUUUUUGUUCCCCGGAACAAAAGAACAGAAAUUUUUGUUCCGGGGAACAAAAACACUUUUUACAUCACUCAUCCUUGUUGCUACCCUCCACCGGCCGUCGCUGUCCUCCACUGGUCACCUGCCCUUCGCCACCUAUUGGUCAUCGCCCUCCACUCGCUAGCCACUUGCCAGCCACCAAUCACCACCUUUCAUCGGCUGCCACCAAGAAAUUUUAAGACCUAUCAAACGAAUUUCUAUUUCGAGAAUGUAAAUUAUGUAUUGUUAUCAAAUACAUGUCUUUGUUCAUCAACUCAUCCAAUGAAUAGAAAUAGAAAAAUCUAUUUCUUACAAGAAAAUAUUACCGGGAACAAAAUGAUUAUCGUUUGCACCCUUAUUGAACUUGAAUUUAACCGGAACAAAUCAUAAUGCAGCGGAAUCUGAAUGGGUUCCAUAGGUAAGUUAAAAGACAAAAAAGAAAAAGAAAAAAUGUUGAAAGGUCAACGUCCCCAAGACAUGUCAGUGGGAGCUUAGGCAAAGAAUUUUCGCGGAGCAAACCUGAAAUGCAGUUGAUCACUUCGUCUCAAUUGCUCUCAGCUCACCUGUGACAUGACCGUUGGACGAUGACCACACACGUUCCACGUUCCUUUUUUACGAAUACUUUACAGAGGAUCAACAUCCAAUAGAUCAUCAGCGUAAUCUGGAGUAGAGUUUCCCAUAUCUAAAGGUCGAAAUCGCAUUUUCUUGAAAACGUCGUCCGCCCCUCUUCUCCAUUCCCAUCGCGAUCUACAUCGUACACCACUGAAAAUUAGUCCACAAAAUGCAUGAGAAAUUGCAUGGCAAAUAUUUCGCAAAGAUAAAAUCGGCAUUGAAACCAGAAAAAGGAUCCAAAUGCCAAUGUUCCCACAAAUAUGAGAGCUCACCAUUAGGGAUGGGCAUAGGGGCGAGUCCAAUCCCCAGCCGGCGAACUAGGAACCUGCACCAUCCCUGUCCCGUUCCCCACGCGUGGUAGGGUGUUUUGCGCGGUUCCGUUGAAAGGGCAGCAGAGGGUAAGAUAGAGAGAGACAGUGUAUUAACACUUUGCCAAAAAUUUUGCCUUAAUUCCCACUAGUAUCCGUGUAUUAAAAUAGAGCGGGAGGUACACUCAAGUCAACGCUUAGCGAGCCAUACCAACAUUGUCCAUAACAUUGUCCGUAGCGAGCCAAACCAACAAGAACCGACGCCCAGAGCUUAAUGGAUAAUUAGCGAAGACACUCAAGUCAACGCUCUAAAGUCAAACCUGAAACUGAAUACACCGCCAAAAACUAAAGGGCCGUUUGAGGAACUAAAGAAUCGACUACUCAGGAUGAGUUUGAAGAGAGUAGCCUGGUCAACUUCGACAAACUCAGCGACCCAGGCCUUUGAGGACGUCCUCGAUGGUGCCAUCGUCGGACUUGGCAAACUCGACGUGCUUCUUGCAGUACUCGAUUGACAUUGAAGUACGAUCGUAAUUUGAGGAACCAUGAUCACCACGGCGAAUGCACACCAAUGGGAGAGGCAAGGACACAAAUGCAGUCGAUGAGGAAGAUCACCCUUGGGAGCUCUGACGGUGAUCCGUUCGAGGUCAACGAGGCUGUGGCCGACGAGUCACAUACGAUCAAGCACAUAUACUCACCCUCAUUAUGCACAAUUGUGGCUGAUGUUUUAUCCCAUGUACUCAACAAUGCUCUGUAGGAGUGUUAGCGUCAGGGAAUUAAGCUUAAAAAGGAGAGUCCUGAGCCCCCCUUCUCUUUACAUAUGGCUUCCUAUUCUUUGUUGUUGCUGACCCUGUUUGAACUGCGGAUGUUCCCAAAAGAUUGUUGACUGUAUUGCACUCUUGUCCGCAGGAUUAUCUUGCAAAAGUCCUGUAUAUGCUUCAGUCCUAACACGGGUGCAAAGUUGAGAACAGAGGUAAGCACAGUCCAGGGAAUCAACGUUAUUCAGAACCCUGGUAACUAUUUGGGUCUACCUAUUCUAUGGGGUAGAUCUAAACGUGAAGCUCUUGGCUUUGUGAAGGAAAGAGCCCUGAAAAGAAUGCCGAGCUGGAAAACUAAAUCGGUCUCACAAGCUAGUAGAAUAGGUAUUACAACAAAAAGUAAUGCAAUGAAAUAAAAUAUAAAUCAUGGUAUAAAUACAUGUUGUAUCAGAAACAAAAAGUUAUGAAUAUUCAGAACUCAUUUUAUGAACUCAUUUAGCUAGUACAACAAAAAAGUUGGAAUAUGUGACCCCAUGUUGUAUCAGAACUCAUUUUAUGAAUAUUCCCGGUUCCUAAUGAAAUAAAAUAUAAGUCAUGGUAUAAAUACAAGAAGUUAUUCAAUAUAUCAUAAUAAGAUUGUUAAACAAGGUUAUCUUCUCAUCACUCCCUAAUAUUUCUUGAUUUCUUUUACUUUCUUUUUUUUUCAAAAGCGAGUUUGCUUCCCUAGCAAAGAAGGCAAGAGUUCAAGAUUCCAUUAUGAUAAAAUCAGAGAUUUAAAAAAAAAAACUACUGAAGAAUAUAUAUUUUUAUAAUCAAACGGAAGCGCUAUUACUUGUAAGGAAGAUGAACUCUGCCUAAUUAGCUUUUUCUUUUCCCUUUUUAUAUUCACCAACCGGUGAAGAUGAUAUGCUUGGCUCUCCUUAAGCUUCCUGUGAUUCCAAGGCUGACACCUAAGCUUCAAUCACAAUAAUAACUCAUCCCAUCUUAAGAGGAGACCUAUCAUCCAAUUCAUUCUUAAUUCAAGGAUAUCUCUAAGCCCUCUUUUGCUUUUUAUCACGCCUUAUGUUGAAAUCCACAAGGAACCAUUCUAGAUUUAUCUUCCUCAAGUGGUGGAAAUUACAAUUAUAAAUAAUCAGAAUUGGAAUUGACUAUCAAAAUCAAAACGUAUUGCUUUCUAAGAUGUGUUAAUCAUUACCAUUGUCUUGAGCAAAGGCUUGACGUUAAUAAUUUCCAAUCAAAAUUGAUUGGAUGAACUCAAUUAAUAAAAAGUUAGUAUAUUUUAGAUUUUUUGGAUAAUUUUCCCCUACUAAAUCCACUAUACUAUGGAAUUCGAAAUUAAACGGACCAAAUCACAACGCAACCCAAUCUGACUGGGUUCCGAUAGGCAAAGAGAAAAGACAAUUCAGAUUGGUCAAAAAAAUCUAAAUUAUGAUGUCACCGCGUUGAUCGGCACAAAAGGUCAACGUCCUCAAGGCACGUCGGCGGGAGCUUAUCCAACAAAAUUUCCAAGCAAGAAAGAAGAAAAACAAAGGAAAAAGAAAACCAAGUCAGCUUCUGAAUGAUCAAUCUUUUCUUGUUCAGUAUUCAAAAUGAAAAACAGAAGAGCCCACUGUCUUCAGAAAUGAAAACCAUCAAACUCGAUCUACUCUAAAGAACACAAGGCUAAUAGAUUCUUAUUCUCACCAGCACACAACAAAACAACAUCUCUCUCUCUCUCCCUCCCUCCUAUAAAUUACCCUCUUCACCACAUCUUACCUUGAAUCCAACAAGCCGUCGAACUCUUCAGUUUGUCCAUAAAUCGUACCAAAAAAGGACAGAACAUCUGGUUUUUUUGGCCUGUCUCUGUCUCGUCCUUGCUGAAAGAGGGGGAUGGCUGAGACGGUAGCGAGAGAGAGGAAGAUACUGGUGGCGGUGGACGAGAGCGAGGAGAGCAUGUACGCCUUGUCGUGGUGUCUCCAGAACGUCGUCUCCGAGAACUCCAAGGACACCCUCGUCCUCCUCUACGCAAAGCCCCUUCGUUCUGCCUACACAGCCCUCGACGGCACAGGUAAAAAACUAAACGUCAAGAUGUUCUUCUUCUUGUUCCGACAUGGUGGGGGUGGCGGCAGCAAUGAGGGCCUCCUCACCAUAGAGGCCCUUGUUGAUUUGCUUCCAAAACCCUUUUUUUUUUUUUUUAAUUAAUUUUUUAAUUUAAUUUAAUUAAUAUUUAUAUUAAAAAUCAAAUUUAUGGGCAAAACAGCGUAUUGCUGACUAAGCAUUCCAAUGAGUAACGUGGAUAAGUUUUAUUAUUGAAAUAAUGCAAUAUCAGAUUUCUAACUACUUUCGUCAGAAUUAGCACUUAAGUAUCCAUUUUUUUUUUAAAUGCCACUUAAAAUGCCACUUAAAUGUAUUUUUUGAAGUUUUGGCACUAAAGUGUUGGCUCAUGCCAAGUUUUGGCACUUAUGGUGUACAUUUGCCCUCGUCCUCCUCUAUGGAAAGCCCCUUUGAUCUUCCUACAGGUAAAAAAACUAAACGUUCUUUUGCUAUGGAGACCAUCUCUUGCGAUUAUAUUUAUAGAGUGGUUUUGACAUUUUUAUUUUUCAUUUCGUUCUUUGUUCCGGUACCUGUUUUCUUCAGACAUAGUGGCCACCAUGGAGAGGUACAACAAUGAAAUGGCCGACUGUUUUAUGGCUAAGGCUAAGAAGAUCUGCCAUGAUUGUGGUGAGAUGAGCUCUUAUUAAGGCAUAAAUUUCUAAAUUUCAAUAAGCGAAAUAUCAAAGGGAUUACUGUGAUGGUUGACCUGGGUAUGGUUGCUGUUAUUGGGGACAGGUCGAGGUGGAGACGAGCGGGAGAAUGGGGAUGCAAGAGAUGUGAUCUACCGAGGGACGCAGAAGUUGGCACCUGAUGUUCUGGUGAUGGGAAGCCAUGGGUACAGCCUUAUCAAGAGGUACUUCAAAUACUCAUUUCGUUUAGUUACUCAAAAACUCCUGAUAUCGACCCUAACGCUAGAACAUUGCUUCAGUGGAAAGACAUGUAUUAUGUAGCCCUAGAUUGAGAAAUGCUUGCAUUGCAAGUGUGGGUGAACGAUUUUACGAUAGGUAGGUUCCAGAUUAUUGUUGUGAGUAGCAUUCGAGAACCAGGCCUAACUUUAAAUGUUGUCAUCAUUGUUUUGGAAGAAAAUAUAAUGUAAACAAUUUGUGGUAUGGUGGUUAAGAAACUAAAGGAUUCAUAAAUUUUGGGUUUGAAACCCAUCUCUAGCAUAUCUAACAUUUCUUUAUAUAAAAUGAAAAGAGCAAAUGAAAAUCGGUCCAAUUGCUCACCCUAGUUGAAAGUUGUCCUCACCUAUACGCGGGCAAUCUAAAAGUCUCUAAGUUUUCGAUUGACUAUUUAAUGAUUUAUUCCUAUUAGUAGAAUGAGGGGAAGUAAUAAGCUUUUAGUCUUAAUUGUAAAUUUCUUUUUUGUUUUGGCAAGUAGAUUGUAAUAUUUGUAUGGAUAUUGGCUAGUGAUUGGUGAAAUGUGGCAGGGCGUGAGCUAUCACUAUACUCAAAAUGUCGAGUGCCCUAUGUUGGUAGUGAAGAGACCCACAUCUAGCAGGAAUAACUAAAACUCGAAUCUGUAAAGUUUGUGCUUGGGAUCUUCCUUGGUUGGGUCCAAAUCCUAGGUUGCCUUUAAGCACUUUGUCAAGUUUCAUUGUAUAUACUCCCACAUUGUCUAGUGUCCUCAUUGUUUCUUACCUAGGCUUUCUGUACAUGCAUAUUCUUCGUCAAUUAUGACUUAUGAAUGGAUUGAUUUUUUGUUAAUAAAACUUUAUUAACACCCAAAUUUUGACGGAUCUACUUAAUCAUUCAUUAAUUACAUAAAAAAUUAUGGAUUAAUUUUUAACCUUUAGAAAAAAUAAUUUUCAUUAAAUUGCAUUGCAUAAAAACAUUAGGAGCAUUUGCAUUACUAGUAUUAAAGUUUAAAAAAAUUUAAGAAUUUUAAUAUUAUAACUUUUAUAAUUAUUUAUAUAUAUAUAAAUAUAUAUAUAUAUAUAUAUAUAUAUAUAUAAAUUUAAAAAAAGUAAGACCCGCCUUCUUUUUUUUACCCUCUUCUUCCUCUUUCCCGUAGCCCGCCCUCUCCCUCGCGCUCUCACGCGUAAAAAGGAAAAAAUAGAAGGCUCGUACGAGCAGAAGGACAAGAGAGCAGAGGGCAAAGCGUCUCACCGGAGUGGGUGGUCGGGUGCAGACCAGCGACGGCAGCUGGUGUCACGGGAGGCCAUGUGCGUCGGUGGCCAUUAAAAGGAAAGAGAGGUAGAGAGAGAGGGGGCAUUUUUACAGAGGAAGGAGACUGAGAGGGAGAGAGGCGCGUAGAGCGAGAGCCGAGAUAGAACGGGGAGCGAGAGUGAGCUGGGCCGACACCGCGGCCACGCACGAACUCCGUCCGAUGACCACGCCCGGUCGAUGUCUUCAAGCCGAACGGGUAAAUCUUUCUUUUUUCCCUCUUUUUUUCUGCCCUGUUUUGGGGCACGCCGGGCCGGAGCUCGCGACCGUCUGGCUCACGCGAACUCCGGCCCCGUCCAUCCCUCCUUCGGUUGUUGUGUGUUUCCUUGUCUGUUUGGCGAGAGUCCCGGUUUUGGUUCGGGUCCCUGGUCGAGUCGGAGACCUCACGAUUCGUGCGCGCCCUUCACCCAUUCGCCGAAAUGCUUCUUCAGUGAGAUCUAGUUUUCAUCCUCCCGUUUUUAGACAAAACCGAGCGUCCUGGAGUUGAUUCGUUCUGUUGAGGCGGGUGUUGUUGAGUUUGCCGUUCCGGGCGUCGGUCGUUUCGCCAUAUUCUCGCCACGGCCGUCAUUGUUUAUGUUUGCGCGUGGCCGAGGGCGCCACGGCCGGCGAUGUCAGGUUCCGGCCUAGGAGUGACGGCCUAGACGGAGGGGUUGUCUUCAGGGUGGCCGUGUUUUUUCUGCUUGGUCCGCGGCCGCUCACGGUGGUCGUCCGCGGAGGCUCCGCAGUUUCUUGCGGAUCGGCGUCCAAGCGGCCCCGUCAUGGUUGUCAUUGGAGCCUCACCGGCCAGACGAAAGCCAAGUGCUCGGCCCCGGGGCGGCUGAGGCGAAGCCUAGAGGCGUCCUUGGCCGGGCGAAGACGGGCGGCGUCGCUCAUCGCGGCCAUCUCCGUCGCGCUGAGACUGCCGCGAGCGUGGGGGAGGAGCUGCGGUUCGGGGGAUGGAAUGAGUACGAAGGAUGGACUCAAGGCUUGGGGUCUUGAUUUUGGUUUGGACUGAAUUGGGGAUUGGGCUUUAGGAUAAACUUAGGUCUUUUUAAGUGGGCUCGGUUUAGCUUUGGAAAGCUUGGGCUUGUUAAUUUAGCUCUUGGGUCGAGCUUGUUUUGUUAGAGUUGGACUUAGCUAAAUGCUGGAGGAAUUGGGCUUAAUUCUAUGAGGUGAGCCCAAUUCGUUUUUUAAUUAAUUAAAGCCUCCUAAUGUGUAAAGCCCAUUUCACGUCCUUGAGCCCAGCUUCGUAUGAACUGAUGCAGCCCAUUUUUGGGACUGCGCCCGAGUCCCUAUUGUCGGAUAAAAAUUUUAAAAUUUUAAAAAUAUAUUUUUUAAAAUAAAAAUUUCGAAUUUUUUUUUUCUGAAAACUAUGGAAAAGCUAAAAAUAAAAAAUAAAAAAUAUCUUUUAAGUAUUUUUUUCUUAAAAUGUGUAAAAAUCCUUAAUAAAAAAUUCGUGUUCAAAAUUGAACAAACUCUUAGGACUUCGCUAUAGGAUUUGGAUGUCCUUAAUGGCAAAUGGUAGGCUAUGAUUUGUGCACUUCCAUUUCCAUGAUCACUUGAUUGCACACUUUUAAAAUGUUGUUUGUUGUUUGCCUUUAGUCUAGUUAGGGGAUGACAAGAUAACAUGACAAUGAUCAAUGAAUGCCAAAAAAUGGUAAAAGUCUAGCAAAAUAAAGUUCAUGAUCGUGUCAAGUGAAGAAUCAUACCUAUGCAUCAUCGUUAGCAUCGGUAGAGUCAGCACUCUCACCCAUUUUAAUUUCAAAAUCAAAGUGACCUCCGGCAUCAUCAUCUUCAAAAAAAGAUGUGCACUUCCUUUUUCCCCUGUCAUAGAUUUGUACAGUUUAAACCAUCCAAAUAAAUAAGAUUAGGAAUUUUUAAAGAAUAGGUAUAGAAGGCUUACAUCUAAAUCUACUGGAUCAUUGGCUUACUAGAAAGGGCAUAAAUCGAAGUCGGAGAAAUAGGAACAAACCAAUGUGAAUAGAACAUCUCUCUCUCUCUCAAUCGAAAUUGCGCCUGUGAAUAGGUACAUUAUAAGUAUUGUCAAAAACCCUAAGCUAUCCAGGGGAAAAUAUGCAACCAUGCAAUACCCAGCAUCACAAGCAUAACCUCCAGAGAUACGAGUAUUGAUUUCCUGUCAACUCACCAAUUUAGUAACUGUUCACAUCCUUGUUUGUCAAUAUAUAUAUAUAUAUAUAUAUAUAUAUAUAUAUAUAUAGACAAUUCAGAUAGCAUUAAAUAAUGAAGCGAUUUGAUCUUAAAACUUCUAUGCUCCUUUCUAAUUACCAAAAAAUAUGAGUUAUAACAGAUCUAGGUUACCUCUUCAUCUCAUUUCUUCUCAGCCUUGUCAGACGCUGCCUUCUCAGCCUGCAAAGAAAAAAUAAAGCCCAUGAAUACUCUAUACUCUUACCAAAUUCAAAAGUAAAACUUACAAGGAGCAAAACCACUUGCAUCCUUGUUCUUGCCCCAUGUUUCUUCAGCAAGCUUCGUGGCAUACUCAGGAUCAUCACAGACCAAGGCAUUAUUGAAUAAGGUUCCAGAUCUGACUUGACAAAUCGAGCGUAGAGUAAACCGAAUUUUGAGCUCCCGGAACAUUGUUAUUAAAUAAAACUGGAUCGGUUACAGAAAAAUUACCUGCCACAGUUCAUUCCAACAUGCUUUAAGAUGGGGAAGCCAUAGAGCUCUGGGUCAUCUUUGAAGUCUAUAAAAAAUACAUAGGAUAGACUUCAAAGAACUUUCAAAUAACAGCAAACAAUAGCAGCGAACAAGAAAAGAAUAACAUUGAUGUACAUCUAAGCUUAAGAAAAGAACUAGUGAUUAAGACCCUGGGUUGUCCAUUAUUGGUGCCUUCCACUUUUCCCUGUAGUUGGGAUUCUUAAUUCUCUGCAAAUAAGCAUGAUCAAGAGAAUCCCUUAAAGCAGUCCAGAACGUAGACUCACAAGUUGCAUACCUUUGGCUUCCAUGGACCCUUUUAUUUAGGGUUGGCAAUGGUCGGGGUAGUCCACUCACCAUCCACCUCAUUGGCCCAGUCUUUGGGCUUAAAUCAUAAUCUUGAUUAGUAACUAAAUAUUGUACAUCAACCUCAUGAAAGCAUGGUUGAUAAUCAGCUUCAAAUCGAAAUCAUCGUUUAGCAGGUUUACCAUCUUGGCAGUGGGAUUUGGUGUCUUUUUUGGGAUGUCAUCAAUCAUAGCCCUGUCAUCACAUCUACAAUAUCCUUUUAAAAGAUUUACAGGAAUACUGCAUUUAAGAAAUCCAACAAAUAGAAGACAAAAUGAUCAUAUAAUCUUCUGGCGUGCGAAACCUAUAUGGGGUGUCGCCACCAAACUCUUUCUGAUCAACCUCCCUACUGAGUAGCUUUAUGUGCCCCNNNNNNNNNNNNNNNNNNNNNNNNNNNNNNNNNNNNNNNNNNNNNNNNNNNNNNNNNNNNNNNNNNNNNNNNNNNNNNNNNNNNNNNNNNNNNNNNNNNNAGAGUCAUGUUUUUGCGCAUGUAUUACAGAGAAUUGGGAAACUAGUCUUUGUCCUUGUUACAGAAUUUAGGGCACUGAGCUGAUAUAGCAUAGAAUGUAUAGUCUUCACUUUUUUGGAUACCUGCAAAUGCAAGGAGGGAUUACUGCUACAGAAUUUGCCAUUAGUCACUCCAAUUUAAGGAAACUUUCCAUCUUCAAUAGGUAAUUGACUCAACUUACCAUGUUGAAUUUGCAAGAUGAAAAAUUCUUAGGUUAAAUCUAAUCUUCCCUUGGGAAGCUCGUCCAAAUCUCCUCUUUGGAUCUUAGCUUUAAUCAACUCUUUGGGAAAAACUACUUCCUUGACCAAAUUCACCAACCUCAUUUACAAUCGGUCAAAUUCCAGCUGAGAUCACUAGCCUCACCUGUCAACUUAUCUAAACCUAUCCUUUAAAAAAUCAGCUGAUCCAACUCCUGAAAACAUUUCUAACCUCAGAAUCUUACUAUCCUAGACUUGCAAUCAAACAACCUAAAUGGCACUUUGUUGCUAAACCUGGUGCUCAGAUUAAAACACUUAAUGGUGUUGGUACUCCCAUUUGAUGAAUUCUCAUCAAUUAUUGAAUCCAAAAUGAAUGCUAGCCUUUCAAACUUGUUUGCUCUCUACUUGGCUUCAAGCAACUUAAGUGAGUUCCGCAUCUUCCUAUUGGACCAAAGUAGGUUGCAAAGGUUGGACCAAUCCCAAAAUAGCAUUUAUGGGCUGCCAUCUCGGUGGUUCUUAAUUGUAAGUAUAGCAAAAUUGGAGUUUUUGAAUCUUUCCAGAAAUUUUGUACAAGUUUCACAGCUUUUAAAUGCCCAAAUCUUAUGACAUUAGACCUUAGUUACAACAAUGUACAAAGCUUACAAUUCCCCCGAAGGCCAAUAAAUUUUAUUGUCUUCAAUAACAAACUAUCCGGAGAAACAUCACCGGCUAUAUUCUAGCUAAGCUCCACUUUAAGUCCAAGAACAAGUUGACCGGCGUUAUCCUGCCAUACUGAGCAAUUUGAGCGAGGCCCUUCUCACCUUGAGUUUGCAUGGCAAUGAUUUUUAAGGAAGAUUUCCUCCAUUACAGACUAAUGAAAGUGCAAUGGGAAUGACAGAUUUGGGUGCUAACCAACUACAAGGGAACUACCAAGGGCAUUAGCCAAUUGUAACAGUCUAGAUUUUCUCAAUUUGGGAAAUAAUCAGAUGGUUGACACCUUCUCUUCAUGAAUAGGCUUGCUUUCUUGUUUGAAGGUGCUCAUUAUGCGUACCAAUAUAUAUUUCUGUAGCCAUGAGGGACUUCAAUGCUCGUUCUCAGUUUCCUAACGUACAAAUUGUCGAUCUAUCCAUGAACAACUUCUUGACUGGCCUCCCAUCUGAAUACUUGAUUGCUGGAGUGACACGAAAGUCAACAAUUCAGAUGAUGCAACUACUAGAGGAACUACGUGCCCCCAUACCUCCCAUUUCCUGAGUUUGAGGGAAUUAUGACUACUCAAUGAUGAUAAUCAACAAAGGCAUUAUAAUAACAAAAGGUUAUUAUCUUUGGAAAUUGUUGGAAAAUAUGGUAACGAUUAGAGUCACAAAGCCCACAGUCUUGACUGUAUAUAGUCAAGGCUCCUCUAUCGCCAACGUGGGACAUUUUUGUCCACGUAACAUUCCCCCAAGUUCCUGUAGACUUGGAUCUAAGACCGCUUCAAGACUUCAUUUUCCAGAGAAUAUUUCUGGGUGAGAGGGGAUGAAUUUUUCUUUUCUAAAUUGAGCAGUUUUGCUUUCAUCUGCAAAAAAUCGAAAUGGAAACAAUUAAUCUUUAUCAUUGAAAAUUAUGCAAGACGUGCAAAUUUUCUGUUUGAUAAAUGAAAAGUGUUUAUUUGAUUGUGAGAGUGGGUUCCAAGGGAAGAAAUAGGAAGAGAACCAAAAUAGCAUUCUUGGCCAGAAAGUAAGGAAUUUGUAAAGAAAAGAGUGUAUCAGCAAUCUAGGAUGUUACGCAUGACGUACCACUUACCUAAAAUUGUCAAUGGUGUUAAGCAUGUUUUUAGUUCCUAAAUCUGUCAUGGAUAACAGCGCUGAGAAGUGGAAUUCUUCUCUUGUAGGGCAAGGUCUUGGCAAGAAAGAUUAUUGGAUUUAUUUCCUCUACGGUGAAUAUGUUGUGGGGAUAGGAGGAGAUUGAAAAUAGAAUGUUCCUUAUGAGCUUUCCCUCUUCCAGAACAUUGCCCGCUAUCCUCUUGUGCUAAGGAAAUGGAAGCCUGAACUGCAAAGUUAGGAGGUCUCCGAUGUGAAAACAGUUGUUGGGUUAAGCUACAGAGCGUUCCUAUGUAUCUUCUGACAUGGGAGGGUGGUCUUGAGGGUUUCUUCAAGGGUGAGAAAGGACUAAGGCAGGUUGAUCCUUUAUUGCAUGUUUUUUUAUGGUGAUGGAGGUUUUCCCAAAACUGUUCAAUAAUGCUGCAAGUCAUGGCAAAUCAAAAUACCAUUCUCAGCGCUCUAAGAUGAAACUUGCCGAAAAGGGGAUAUGAAUUCUUUGAACGAAGUAGUGGCCUUGUUUCAGAGACUUAAGCACACGUCAGGUCUUAGUCUUAAUCCCCUAAAGACCGGGAAAUAAAUCUAGCUGGUAUUAAGCGGCAGCUAGUGGAUGACAUACAUCUCUUGGUGACUUUAAAAAGGGCCAAGUGCCAGUUAGAUACCUUGGCCUUCCUCUGAUUUUAGGAAGGUUAAGUGAUCCAGUGUAAGCCUUUGGUGGAUAAGAUUACUUUUUGAAUGAGUUCUUGGACAAUUAGGCAUCCGAAAGAUUGCAACUCAUUAAGGAAGUGACAGCUUGGUGAAUCUUUGGAGUCAAUUUUUUUUUUUGCCAAAAAUGUUAUCAAUAUGAUGGAAAGCAAGUGUAUUGCCUCCCUUUGGAAGGGAAAAUCUGAAAGCGCUCGAGGUUCAAAAGUUUCUUGGAUGAUGCAUGUCUCCCCAAGUUUAAGGGUGGUUUAGGAUUUGAGGAAACUGGGGCCUUGCAACUUUGCUUGUCGAUUGAAGAACUUACGGAGAUUUUGUUGCUGGCUGGAUCCUAUGGGCCCUUGAACAUUGCCCACUGUCCAUUUGGGUGACAUGACAAAAUUUCUUCAGCAUAAAUUAAUUUCUCAAUUUCUAUUCCCUAAAUAAAUUUUUGAGUAAAGAAACGGGUUUAUCAACGAUUCAAAAUUUUUGUUUUUAGAAUAGAAAUUCAUUUGAUAACAAAAUAAAAUUUCUAUUUCUAGGAGAGGCAACGGCGGGCAUCCGUGGUCCGAUGAUGGGCGUCCAACGAUGGGUGGCUGACGUUCGGCAUCAGGCGGCGGGCGACCGGCGGCCGGCAAUGGGUGAGCAGCGAGUAGUAAUAGGAGUGAAUGAUAAAAAGAGUGUUCAUUUCUUACUUUUGUUCCAAAAAUAGAAAAAAAAAUAGAAAAAAAUAGAAAAGCUAAUAAUUUUAGGACGCAUUUGGUAACGAUUCUGUUCCUGGGAACAAAUUCUGAUUUGAAAUGAUUUUUUUUUUAUUUUAUUCCUGAAAACUGAUUCUGAGUAAAAGAAAAUGCGUUUGGUAACUAUACAAAAUUUCUGAUUCUAGAGUAGAAUUGCAUUUGGUACCGUGCUAAUUGAUUCUAUUCCAAAUCAUUUUUUUUAUUUUUUAUUUUUUAUUUUUUUUUAUUUUUUUCUUUUCUCUUUUUUCCUUUUUUUUUCUUUUCUUUCUUUUCUUUUUUUCCUUUUUUUUUCUUUUCUUUUUUUUAAAUUUUUUUUCGCCUAUUCUUCUUCUUCUUCAAGCCGGUCGCCAGACCGGCGACCGACUAGAUGAGGGCUAGCGACCUCAUUAGAGUGUUGCCAGCCCUCAACAAGGCCGGCCCUCGUCGGCCGAGCCUCGCCGAUAGCUGAGUGAGGCUCGACUCGCCAGAUCCAGCAAGGCCGAGCCUUGCCGAUGGCCAGGCCGGCCUCGCCGGGGCUGUGCGAGGUCGACCUAGCCACCGACGGGGCUGGACAAGCCUCGCCGGUGGCCAGGCGAGCCUCGUCAAGGCUAGGCGAGGCCUGCCUAGCCACCGACAGGGCUGGGUGUCGUGAGGCUCACCCACCUACCGGCUAGGCACGGCCUCACCGGUGGCCAAGUCGGCGACUUGUGCAAGCUCACUGAUGGUUGGGUGAGACUUUGGCGAGCUCGCCAGACCUCGCCGGUGGCUGGGCGCGCUCGCUGGACCUCAUCGAUGGCUGGGCGCACUCGCCGGACCAGUUGCCGGUGAUUGGCGGUAGCGACCGGCGACAGCAGGCGACGGUGGGCGGCGGUCGCAAGAUGGCGGUCGAUGAAGAAGAAGAAGAUUUUUGAUUUUCAAUUUGUUCCUGGAACAAGAAUCAACUUUUUUUUUUUUUAUUCUUGAUUCUCCUCCAAAUCUGUUCCUAGGAACAAAAAUUUUACCAAAUGCAAUUCUGUUCCAAAACUACUCCCAGGAACAAAAAAUCAGAAUCUAGCACUGUUGGGAUGGUUACCAAACAGGCUCUUAACUUCUGAUUUUGCUCCAAAUCUAUUUAUAGAAUAGAAAUUUGUUUAAAAAAAAUGAUAUUGCGUUACUAAAUGAAUUUUUGUUCAAACAUGUUAUGAGGAUCACAAAAAUAAAAAUAAACAUAAACAUAAAUUUUGUCAUGGACAUCUUUAAAGGGCAAUCUAACUGGGCAAUAAGUCCAACUAGCGAGAGCAGCUAUGCUUGUAAAAUAGUAUAUAAUGUAUAGUUUCUUUUAAAAUUAAUUUUAAAAUUCGACGGAAAACCCAGUAAUUAAUUAAUUAAUUGUAAUUUGCACUGCAAAGCAUAGCUUGAGUGGUCACUUUUCUUCAUGUCCCAUAUAAAACUCGACCUCUCUUACGACUUGGUGUUGAGAAGACUUUUUUAGAUAUGCUAAUUGUCAUGUCUUGCACAUAAUGGAUGACGACUGGAAAAAUGGGAAGUCAAGAUUUUCAAAUUAUGAUAGGGGUAAUCUAUUCUUAACUUUUCAUCACCAAUAUAAAAAGAUUACUAGAAGCUCGCUAGACUAGAUCUUUGCUAGAAAUGCAUAUCCUCUUAGAUUGCGAAUGAAAAUUAUUUUAUUUCUUUUUAUUUCUUUUUUUUUUCUGUUAUUUAGAAUAGGUUUGGAAUAGAAAUUCGUUUGAUAAUGCAAUUUCAUUUUUCUAUUUUCAAAACAAAUUUUUAGCUAAGAAAUAGAUUUUGAAUAAAAAUGAGAAAAGUAGAAAUUUUCUACUUUUCUAUUUUUGGAACAGAAAUAGAAAUAAAAACUCUUUUCAUUACUUGUCAUUACCAUCCUCUGCUAGCAAAUGGUCGUCGCCCUCCACCCAUUGCCCACCCGCCACCCGCCAGCCACCAAUCACCACCCUUCACCAACCACUCCAACCACUGCUAAGAAAUUUUAAGGCUAUCAAACGAAUUUCUAUUUUAGGAAUAUAAAUUCUGUCACAUUAUCAAACGUAUAUCUUUGUUCAAAAACUCACCUAAGAUAUAGAAAAAGAAAAAAAAAAUAUUUUUGAUAAGAUAUUAUUCUUAAGAACGGAAUGAUUAUUGUUUACGCCUUUAUUAAACUUGAAUUUAACCGUGAACAAGUCAUAACACAGUCAAAUCCAAAUGGGUUUCAUAGGUAGAAAGACAAAAAAGUUGAAAGGUUAACGUCCCCAAGACAUGUCGGUGGGCGCUUAGGCAAAAUUUUGAAAAACAAAACCGAGGCAAUUUUCGCUGAGCAAACCACAAAUGCAGUUGAUUACUUCGUCUCAAUUGCUCUCAGCUCACUUGUGACAUGGCCUUUGGACGAUGACCACAUAUGUCUCACGUAAGGGUGAGCAUCGAUCUAAGGUCAACCCUGGACCAACCUUGGAUCGGCCCAACUCUACCGGUCCUAGUCCAGUUCCUAGGAAGAUCAAGUCGAUCAUUGGUCCUGGGAUUCCUAGACCAAUACUGUACGGGUUGAUCCUCGAUUCUGAAAGUUUAGAUAUAUAUAUCUAAUAUAUUAUUUAUAAUUUUUUAUAUAGAGAAAAUCCUAAAAUAAACGGCGCCAACAGCAUUAAAUAGCUCCUUAGUAUGGAGUUGAAUAAUUUUACACUAUUUUUUAAUAACUUAGAUCUUUUAAUGUCUUUUACGGCGUCAAAAGUCAUAAUUUACAAAGAAGAAAUAUGUUUUUAUGAGGAGUCCUCAGGGUGUUCAAAAGAGCAUAAAUAACUCCUCACGGCAUCCUCAUCUAAUACUCGUUUUCUUCUAUCCUAUUUGUUAUCUUAGUCUUUAAUUUGCCAAAAUCAAAAGAAAUAACUUUUAUGCUCGCCACUUAACACUAGCCUCUCACUUGCUUUGGGUCACUCCUGCCGCUCGCCGCUCAAUGCUUGCCUAGCUUGUUGCUCCCUGCUCGAUGCUCGAUGCUCACCCCACUCGAUACUCGUCACUCGCCUCUCUUAGCUAACCUCGCUUGUCAUUGAACCUAUAAGGUCAGUCCAGUUCUCACUCACUUUUUCAAGGAAUACAAAAAUGAAACAAAAAAUUAUUAAUUGAUCCUGAGUUGAUUAUAGAAUUGGACCAAACCCAUUAGGUCGAUCUGGUCCUUGAUUGCCUUUUUAGAUAGUACAAAAAAUGAAAUAAAUAAAUUAUCGGUUGAUCCCGAGUUAAUCUUGGAACUGGACCGAACCCACUGGGUUGGUUUGAUUCUUGGUCCCAAGCUCAAUAGGAUCGGUCCUCGGUCCUCGAUUCAAAAAAUUGAUAACCAGUACUAUGUGGGUUGGUCCUAGAGUAAGGGGGUGGGCCAACCCAAUCCAAACCAUGCUCACCCCUCUUCACGUUCCACGUUCCGACCCAUGGACAGUGCCCUUUUUAUUAUUUUCCUUUGUUUUCUUGCUUUUUUUUCUUUUUCUUUUUUUUUUACUUCCUUUUUGACAAAUCCUUUAUAGAGGAUCAAAAUCCAAUUUGUCAUCAGCGUAAUCUAGAGGAGAGUUUCCCAUGUCAAAAGGUGGAAACCACAUUUUCUUGAAAACGUCGUCCGCCCUUCUUCUCCCUUCCCAUCACCAUCUUCAUCGUACACCACUGAAAAUUAGUCCACGAAAUGCAUAAGAAAUAGCAUCGCGAAGAUUUCGUAGAGGUAAAAUCGACAUUAGAAUCAGAAAAAGGAGCCAAAUGCUAAUGUUCCCACAAAUAUGAGAGCUCGCCAUUAGGGAUGGGCAUUGGGGCGAGUCCAAUCCCUAGCCGGCUAACUAGGAACCUGGGCCAUCCCUGUCCUGUUCCCCACGCGGGGCAGGGUGGUCGCCGGCAGUUCUUUGAAAGGGCGGCAGAGAGUAAGAUGGAGAGAGAGAGAGAGUGUAUUAACACAAUACCAACAAUUUUGCUUUAAUUCCCACUAGUAUCCGUGUAUUAAAUCAGAGCGGGAGGUACACUCAAGUCAACGCUCAGCGAGCCAAACCGACAUUGUCCUUAACAUUGUUCGUAGCGAGCCAAAUCGACGAGAACUGACGCUCAGAGCUUAAUGGAUAAUUAGGAUACGUUUGGUAACGUUUUUUGUUUAAAAAUUGUUCCAAUGAACAAAAAUAGAAAAAACCAUUUCUCUUCCGGGGAAUAAUUUUUUAACAAAAGAACGUGUUUGAUAAAUUUGUUCCUGGAAUAGAAAAAGAACAUGAACACGUUUGGUAAACUUGUAUGAUUUUUUUGUUUCCUUUAAUUUUUUAAUAUUUUUAUUUUAUUUUUAUUUUUUUCUUUUCCUUUUUUUCUUUUUUUUUUCCCUUCCUUUUGGUCGGUCGCCGGCCUCAACCAUGGCCGACGACUGGCCGACAAGGGCCGGUGGCCUUGCCCAGCCAUGGCGAGGAUCGCCAGCCCUCGGCGAGGCCGAGCCUUGCUAUGGCUAGGCGAGGCUCGGCCUCACCUUGACUGGGCGAGCUCGAGCUUGCCCAGAUUCAGGGAGGCCGAGCUCACCCAGCCACUAGCGAGGCUCAGCCUCGCUCGGCCAUUGCCAGGUGAUGCCUACCUGGCUGUGGCCCGGCGACGUUGGGUGAGCUCGCCUAGAUUCGGUGAGGCCGAGCCUCACCAGCCGCGCGAGGUCGGCCUCGCCUUGGCUAGGCAAGCUCGAGCUCGCCCAGAUUCGGUGAGGCCAAGCUUCGCCAGUGGUUAGGCGAGCUUGAGGUCGCCGGCCCUCACUAGCUCUUGACAGGCGGUCGCCAACCAUGGUCGAUGGCGGCGACCGGUCCACUGAAUAAGAAGAGGAAGAGAAAGAGGNNNNNNNNNNNNNNNNNNNNNNNNNNNNNNNNNNNNNNNNNNNNNNNNNNNNNNNNNNNNNNNNNNNNNNNNNNNNNNNNNNNNNNNNNNNNNNNNNNNNNNNNNNNNNNNNNNNNNNNNNNNNNNNNNNNNNNNNNNNNNNNNNNNNNNNNNNNNNNNNNNNNNNNNNNNNNNNNNNNNNNNNNNNNNNNNNNNNNNNNNNNNNNNNNNNNNNNNNNNNNNNNNNNNNNNNNNNNNNNNNNNNNNNNNNNNNNNNNNNNNNNNNNNNNNNNNNNNNNNNNNNNNNNNNNNNNNNNNNNNNNNNNNNNNNNNNNNNNNNNNNNNNNNNNNNNNNNNNNNNNNNNNNNNNNNNNNNNNNNNNNNNNNNNNNNNNNNNNNNNNNNNNNNNNNNNNNNNNNNNNNNNNNNNNNNNNNNNNNNNNNNNNNNNNNNNNNNNNNNNNNNNNNNNNNNNNNNNNNNNNNNNNNNNNNNNNNNNNNNNNNNNNNNNNNNNNNNNNNNNNNNNNNNNNNNNNNNNNNNNNNNNNNNNNNNNNNNNNNNNNNNNNNNNNNNNNNNNNNNNNNNNNNNNNNNNNNNNNNNNNNNNNNNNNNNNNNNNNNNNNNNNNNNNNNNNNNNNNNNNNNNNNNNNNNNNNNNNNNNNNNNNNNNNNNNNNNNNNNNNNNNNNNNNNNNNNNNNNNNNNNNNNNNNNNNNNNNNNNNNNNNNNNNNNNNNNNNNNNNNNNNNNNNNNNNNNNNNNNNNNNNNNNNNNNNNNNNNNNNNNNNNNNNNNNNNNNNNNNNNNNNNNNNNNNNNNNNNNNNNNNNNNNNNNNNNNNNNNNNNNNNNNNNNNNNNNNNNNNNNNNNNNNNNNNNNNNNNNNNNNNNNNNNNNNNNNNNNNNNNNNNNNNNNNNNNNNNNNNNNNNNNNNNNNNNNNNNNNNNNNNNNNNNNNNNNNNNNNNNNNNNNNNNNNNNNNNNNNNNNNNNNNNNNNNNNNNNNNNNNNNNNNNNNNNNNNNNNNNNNNNNNNNNNNNNNNNNNNNNNNNNNNNNNNNNNNNNNNNNNNNNNNNNNNNNNNNNNNNNNNNNNNNNNNNNNNNNNNNNNNNNNNNNNNNNNNNNNNNNNNNNNNNNNNNNNNNNNNNNNNNNNNNNNNNNNNNNNNNNNNNNNNNNNNNNNNNNNNNNNNNNNNNNNNNNNNNNNNNNNNNNNNNNNNNNNNNNNNNNNNNNNNNNNNNNNNNNNNNNNNNNNNNNNNNNNNNNNNNNNNNNNNNNNNNNNNNNNNNNNNNNNNNNNNNNNNNNNNNNNNNNNNNNNNNNNNNNNNNNNNNNNNNNNNNNNNNNNNNNNNNNNNNNNNNNNNNNNNNNNNNNNNNNNNNNNNNNNNNNNNNNNNNNNNNNNNNNNNNNNNNNNNNNNNNNNNNNNNNNNNNNNNNNNNNNNNNNNNNNNNNNNNNNNNNNNNNNNNNNNNNNNNNNNNNNNNNNNNNNNNNNNNNNNNNNNNNNNNNNNNNNNNNNNNNNNNNNNNNNNNNNNNNNNNNNNNNNNNNNNNNNNNNNNNNNNNNNNNNNNNNNNNNNNNNNNNNNNNNNNNNNNNNNNNNNNNNNNNNNNNNNNNNNNNNNNNNNNNNNNNNNNNNNNNNNNNNNNNNNNNNNNNNNNNNNNNNNNNNNNNNNNNNNNNNNNNNNNNNNNNNNNNNNNNNNNNNNNNNNNNNNNNAAAAAAGAGAUAUAAAGAUAAAAAAAAGAAAAUAUAGAAAAAAAUAAGAAAGAAAAAAAAUAGAACGUGAUUAAGGAAAUAUGAAGAUAGAGGAACAUUGGUAAUAAAAACAAGCAGAUAGACAACCAAGUCGGAGGCAGACAGCCGACCAAAGAAAAAGAAAGAAGAAAAGAAAGAGAAGAAAAAAAAUAGGAGAGAGAAAAUUUGUUUAUCAGAAGUGUUCCAAGAACAAGAAACAAAGUUUUUUUAGUUUCUAGUUUUUGUUCCAAAAUUUGUUCCCGGGAGCAAAAAAUAGAUUUGGAACAAAAACGCAAACAAACACGUUUCUAUUCAUUUUUUAACUAGAGGGCCGUUUGAGGAACUAAAGAAUCGACCAAUCAGGAUGAGUUCGAAGAGAAUAGCCUGGUUGUCUUCGACGAACUCAAGCGAUGCAGGCUUGAGGUCGUCCUCAAUGGUGCUAUAGUCGGACUUGGUGGACUCGACGGGCUUCUUGCAAUACUUGAUUGACAUUGAAGUACGAUUGCAAUCAGGGUUUUGCGAUCGCAAUCUGAGGAACCACUGUCACCACCAGGAAUGCACACCAAUAGGAGAGACAAGGACACAUUGUGGUCGACAAGGAAGAUCACCCUUGGGAGCUUCAGCAGUGAUCCAUUCGAGGUCAACGAGGCUGUGGCCGAUGAGUCACAGACGAUCAAGCACAUAUGCUCCCCCUCUUUAUUCACAAUUGUGGCUGAUGUUUUAUCCCAUAGUCUCUCCAAUGUUCUAUAAGAGGGAUGCCUUUAGGGAAUUAAGCUAAAAAGGAGGAUCCUAAACCCCCCUUCUCCUCACAUAUGACUCCCUAUUCUUUCUUGUUGCUAACCCAGUUUGAACUGCAGACGUUCAAAAAAGAUUCUUGACCAUAUGGUACUGCUCAAGCCAGAGGGUCGUGUUGCAAAAAUCCUGUAUAUGCUUCAGUCCUAACACUGGGGCAAAGUUGAGAACAAAGGUAAGCACAGUCCAGGGAAUCAAUGCUACUCAAGACCCUGGUAACCAUUUGGGUCUACCUAUUCUAUGGGGUAGCUCUAAACAUAAAGCUCUUGACAUUGUUAAGGAUAGUCUUUGAAAAGAAUGCCAAGCUGGAAAACUAAAUUAUUGUCACAAGCUGGUUGGGAGAUUGAGGUAAAACCAGUGGCUUAUGCAGUACCAACUUAUUUUGUUGUCGUGUUUCAAGUUUCCAAAGAUGUGGCAUGAGGACGUUUAUGCAGCUAUAGCCGAUUAUUGGAGGGGUCCGCAGAAUAAUGAAGGGAAAGUGCAUUGGAAGAGUAGGGAAAGCUUAACUGAAGCAAAGUUAGAAUGAGGCUUGGGUUUUAGUAGUUUAUCACAGUUCAACAUAACCCUCCUUGCUGAGCUUGCUUGGAGAAUCCAAAGCAACCCCUCAGAAUUCUGGGUGCAAAUAUUUCAAGGGCUCUACUUUCCCCUUUGUAGCUUCGUGGAAGUUAGAAGAGGUGGCAGAACGUCUUAGGGACGAAGUAGAGUUUUGGAGGGAGAGGUCUAAUUAAGGAAGGUGGGUUAUGAUAAAUUGCUGAUGGGAAGUCGGUCAAAGUUUGGGAGGAUAGGUUGGUGAAGGAGAGUUGAGACCUGAUGUUGCAUCCUCUAAUCUGACCCAGGUGAAAAAGUAAUUAAGACUGGAGUCUCUAAUUGGUGCAGAUACUAGGAUUUGGAACUUGACUCUCCUUAAGGACAGCAUACGGUAGGAGGAGCAAUGAUCGGUGUUGAGAAAUCACAUAAGGUGGAGAAGUUCUGAUGACCAACGAUUUGGCCCCGGAACGGGAGUGGUGGCUCUAUAGUAAAGUCUCUACCACUUUACCAUGCAAAAUAGAAAGAAACAUCUAAGCCUAGACCCUCAAGCUCUCCUACUAUUGAUGGUAUAGUUUGGAAAUUAGUAACAGGCAUUGACUCUCCUCCCAUGAUAGGAGACUUCCAUUGGCAACUUUGCUCGAAUGUUAUGCCUGCUGCUGCUAAUCUGUGCAAACAAAAAGAAUAAAGUUUCUCCUGCUUGUAUGUUCUGUUUUGAGAUUAUAUCUAUAGAGCAUUUAAUACUCAAUUGCUUUAAUUUGAAAAUCCAAAAAACGAAGUGAUUCAUAUAGGUAUUUUUAAAUGAAAAGUCAACGCAACUCAUUUCAAAUACAAAAUGGUGUUUCUAUACAAAGUUGUCUCCAAGUAAAAUUUAGAAGAAGAGAAAUAUUUCUCAAAGAAGAGUGGAUGGUAAGCGAGAUGGAAACUUUCCUGAUUUUCACCUUGAAGAGUGAUAAUCCGAUCAUUGACACCUCUCCUUUAUGGAUUGGCUUGUUUUCUAAUUUGAAGGUGCUCAUUUUCAAUGCCAGUAGAUUUCAUGGAGCCAUGAAAGAGCCCGAAGCUCAUUGCCAAUUUCCUACAUAUCUUCAGUAGGUCAUAUAGUAACUCUCAAUAUUCAUAGCAAUUUCUCUAGACUUUUCUAUACAAGUCAACUUACCUUUAUCAACUUAGUGGUGAGAAUACACAAGAUUUUAUGUCUUGGACAUAUUGCAUCCGUUGUGAGUGUUAGAUAGGCUAUGGUAUUAUUGAAUUGAUUUGUGCCAUUUGAUACACAAGUUUUCACUUGAGGUCUUCUCAUUCAUUUAAGAAAAUAUGACAUCAAAUUCGAUAAAUUUUGACCCCUCAAACAAAAAAAUUGAUCUUGCACGGUAUUGCUUUUGCAAUUCUUCACAUUUAAAUAUUAAAGACAUUUAAAUUUUGGGUAUAAAGUAUUCGCAUCAAACAAAGCAUAGAUCAACAUUUCUUUAAGAUUGGCUUGAUGGAUAGUCUAAUAUGCGAAAUAUGAGUCCCAACUCCCUUGAGGUUCCAAAAUCAAGCCUGCGCGAGCCUAGCCCUAAGCUAAUCAAACUCGGCCUAAAUGGAAAGGCAACGCGGUCAUUCAAGGACAACAAGGGAAAUUCAAAUCGGCCAACACCCAUCGUCGAGGGAGGGGCAUGUAAAGGUCACUAGUUUGGGAACUUUAUAAGAGUAGCUGUUGUCAAGAGCCACCCUCUUCAAAGGAAACUCAUUUUGUGAGGAAUACUCGCACAUUUGAUGGACAAGGAUCAAUUGGCAGCUGAUUGUUGUUUCCAAAAUACUUGACCAGAAUUCCCUGAACAAUUUAGUAACUGCGUGAUACUGUUUAUCCUGACAUUUCUUCAUAAUAUUCAACCACCAAAUCCAAGUACCUAACAAUACUGCGGAAGAGGAAGACCAAGUUUUCUCAUUUUCACACCUACAACAACCAAAGAUAGUUACAAUUAAUUUUUCUUGCACCAGAUCAAAAUGCAAGCUUCGAAUUCCCCUCUUUUAAAUUUAGAUUGCCAAUGUUAAUUAUAUUCCAAGCGACAAACCUUCCACGUAUUGGGAUUACAUGUAUCGCACAUUCGCAUGUUCACAUUCAUGGAUAAUGACCGGUAUCUACUCAUUCAUUUCAAUUUAAAGCAAAAAAAAAAAAAACUAUAACUACAAAACAAUAGCAUAACCGCAUAUUUUACUAGAUCAACAAUAAUUAUUUAGAGUCAAUAAACAAAUCGAAUAGUUUGAUGUAUAUCGAAUAUUUACAUGGUGUUGUCAACAUUUAGAUUUCUUUAAACACCUUUAAGAAGCUAUACAAACCCAUACUGAGUCUCACUGUAAAACACAAGUUAUAGUAUAAUAAUUACAUUGAGAUUGAUUUUCUCUAUCACAUAAAUGGAUUUUAUACAAUAUUAAUCCAAAAAUUCGCAAUGCAGCGAAGCAAAGCAAAGAUGAUGGAAGACCGACUUGCUUUCCCUCGCCAGUCUUUUCCUUUUGACUUUUUCAUUUGAGUAGCUUUUGUCGGUCUUUGCCUUGUCUCUGUCUUUGGUUGGGAGAAAAGAAUGGGAAAAUGCAAGGAAGCAAGCAAAGGUGAUAGAAGACUUUGACUUGCUUUCCCUCACCUCACGCCGGGAAGUAGAUUGCCUAACAACCAUGACUUGAGAGGUGCGUGCGUCCCAAGUAAUUAAUUUAAAUAUGAGUAUUCAUCGCCUCCUCUCCUGACCUAUGCGAUAAGUAACUUUGAAUUAGAAAAGGUAAUUUUCUGCCUGUCUAUGGUUAGUAAAUCUCAAUGUUGAUAGUCAUAGUUCAUUCAACAAAGUAAGUUUAUAUACCAACUUUUAACAUAGAAAAAGGUAACACAAUUUCAUAUGGUUAGUAACUCAUUAAUCUGACUUGUAAUAUAUAUACAUAAUUAGUUUUUCUUAUAUACAUUGAUGUAACUUUCCCCACAUCUGUGUGUCAGUAACUUUUCACAAGAUUGCAGUGAAAUUUUUGGAGAUGCAAGUGACAUCCAGGCUAGAGUUGAUGACUUUGCACUAAAUUUUGUUUUAAUCCAUUCGUGAUAAAAGCAUCAAUAAUACUAAGAUCAUUAAUUUACUACUCUCCAUCCAAUCAUUUUAGUAUAUCUACAUCCAAGCAAACGGAAAUCUAUUUUCCACCUUUUAAAUGGAAACAAGUAAAGUUAUUAUCGAGAUUUAUAUUUACUGAAAUCGCUGGUCCUUGAACUUUUAUUUGAAUGUGUCCAUGUCAUAUCUAAUCAAACAAUCGAUUCAAUUACAUCCUAAAAUAUUUGUCUAAUGUGCGCCUUGAUCUUAUCUCUUAAUUGAUUCUUUUCCUGACCUUUUUAAAAAUAUUCAAUAUCGUCUCAUUUUAGUAAUUAGAAGGACAAAUCCGUACAAUGUCCCCUUCUAGUCUUUUGCUCGUCAAGAACAAAUGGUUUGUUCUUUACUUUCUACAAGCUUUAGCUACUAAUGUUGAGCCGGUUCCUAACACUUCCAACAUGUGAGAAAUGGUAGUUAGACAUUAUUUAGUAGGAUACAUUUUCAGUUCCGAGGAUGAAGUUUUGGAAAGCUACCGAGAGGAACAAUAUAUUAGCCCAUACACUUCUAUGCUUUCAUCCGACUUAUCUUCUGUAUAAAAAAGCAAUAAAGUAAUUAUACAAAAAUAGUAUAAUUAGUAACUCAUUUUAUAUAUAAAAAAAAAAAUGCAUCUACCUAUUGGUAACUAGUAAUUUUUCUAUGCAAUAAAUAAUUAUGGAAUAAAAAAAAAGUAAUUUUCUGCCGAUUGUUAGUAAGUCGUACUGUUCAAAGUAAUUUCUCUAGACUUUCCUAUACACAUCAACUUAUGUUCAUUAUCUUAUUGGACUACAUAAGAUUUUCUAUAGUGGACACUUUACAUUUGGUGUGAGUGUUAUGCCACUGUUAAACUAGAUUGUACCAAUAUUUUUUUUUUUGGUCAGAAGAUUGUACCAAUUGACACCUAAAUUUUUGUUAGAAGACUUCCAUUCUUUUAAUAAGAAAAUUGGAGAUUGAAUUCGACAGAGUUUGACCCCUAAACAAAAAUGUUGAUCUUGCCUGGUCAUGCAUUCAUAAUUCUCACUUCGUUCUUCGCAUUUAGAUAUCAGGGACAUUUAAAUUUUGGGCAUGAAGUAUUCACAUCGAGCAAAGCAUGAUUCAAUCUGUGAGUUUUCUUGGGAGUGGCCCAAUAGAUGGCUCCAUAUGCAAAAGUAAUUACUGAACUCACUCGAGGUGCCAAAAUUAAGUCCGCUUGAGUCCAGUAACUCCAGCCCCUAAGCUGUAAUCGAACUUGGCUGAAUGGAGGGAAAGGAAGCGCGGCCAUUCAAGGGCAGCUAGUGAAAUUACAAUUGGCCAAUACAAUUUUCGAGGCCAAUUCCAGUCUGAACAUAUAAGAUGGAAGGUCUUGUUCAGUUGCUGCAUGCGUCCAAAUGGAAGAAAAGGCAAAGGAGAAUCAAAAGAAGGAAAGGGGCGUGUAGUUUCCAUCUUGACGAUGGGAGCAAUCUCGGCAUUCACAGACCUGAAUUCACAGCCAAAAAAAAAAAACCAAGAAAAUCUUGGCAUAGGAAAGCAGAGGAUUCUCGGCCAAGUGGUGCAGCGAUUUUCAGCAUUUGAUCAUUUCCAAAGAUAGCUUGAAAAGGAAAAGGGUGGUGCUUUUUCUGCACGGCCAAGAAAGAGAAACACGAAGAGAGGGUUUCGGUCAACAGAAGAGAGAAUACUAAAAGGAAAGAAAGAACAAAGAAGUGGUCGGCAAAAGAAAAGAAAUAUAAGAACAGAGAGCAAAAGGUUUCCCGUUUAAUUUCCUCGAAAUUCACUUUUCCUCUGCACUUCAAUAUCCAAGAAUUUUACUCCUUACAGUCAAAUUUCUCCAUCAUUUCAUUUUAAAGCCCGGCGCACCUUGCACUUGGAAAAAGCCAAAAAUGAAAUCAUUUUAGCACUGUUUUGAAGUUGAUCAAUUCUUGUUCAAGUUAGAACUGUAGUGUGAUAACAUAUUUUAUCUAAAGAAGGGGCCUGUAAAGGUGACCGAUUUGGGAACUUUUUAAGAGUCAUUGUUGUCAAGAGCCACCCUCUUUAAAGGAAACUCAUUUUAUGAAGAAUACUUAGCACAUUUGAUGGACAGGGAUUACUUAGCAUCUAACUGUCGUUUCCAAAAUACUUUAUCAGAGUUUCCUGAACAAUUUCGUGACUGCGUGAUAUUGUUUAUCCAGACUCUUCUUCAUAACAUUCAACCAUCAAAUUCGUUAAAAACAACUGAUUGUUCUUUCCUAUUUCCAAGUUUUAGGUACUCUUGUUGAUAUAGUUCCCGACACUUCUAACAUAUGAGAGAAAUGGUUGUUAUAUAUAAUUUUGUAGGUCACAUUUUCAGUUCCAAGGAUCCAGCUUUGGACAGUUAUCUAGAGGAACAUUAUAUUGGUCCAUACUCUACUAUGCUUUCAUGCAUUUUAAUUUUUGGUAUAAAAAAGCAAUAAAAUAAUUAUACAAAAUUAGUAUGAUUAGUAACUCCUUUUACACUGAAAAAGCAUCUAUCUAUCAGUAACAAAUAAUUUUUCCAUCCGCGAAAUUAUGAUAAAAUAAGAAAAAAUAAUUUUCUGCCUAUCUAUUGUUAAUAAUUCUCAAUGUUCAUAGUAAUUUCCCUAGACCGAGCUCGUGCUAGCCCGGUCCCAAGCAAUUCAAACUCGGCCUAAUGAAGGGAAAGGAAGCGCGGCCAUUCAAGAACAGGGACGAAAGUCCAAAUCAGCCCUCACUAGGGGUGAGCAUGGUCCGGGUUGGUCCGGGCCACCCCCUAACCCUAGGACCAACCCGUACAGUGUCGGUCCUCAAUUUUUAGGACCAAGGACCGACCCUAUUGAGCCUGGGACCAAGGACCGGACCGACCCAAUGGGUUCGGUCCGGUUCCAGGGUCAAUCCGGGACCGAUCGAUAAUUUUUUUCGUCUUAUUUUUUAUACUUCCUAAAAAAGCAAACCUAAAAAUUCAAAUUACGCAUCCAUGAUCCAUCAACAAUACGAUAUUGUGCAACUAAAUUAUAAAAUACCAAUACAUAUUUAGCAAAUUUAAGAUGACACAAUAAUAGAAAUUUCAUAUCCGCUAACCGCUCAUCGAGAUAUGGGACAAGAUGGAAAGUUCUUGUAAUCAUCUAUCUUUAAUAUUUAUAACACCAUAUGCAAAAGCGUUUUCCUGAUCAUGUAGAGUUUACUCAACCAAAAAAUGAGCUUUGCACCACUUGACUAGCAUUUGAUCAUGUAGAGUUUACUCAACCAAAAAAUGAGCUUCACACCACUUGACUAACAAAUCACCGUAGCAACUGCAGUACUACUCUACUCUUCAAAAACUUCUACCAUUUAACACAAAUUGAAAAGCAAUUAAAUCAUAAAAUUUUUAAAAUACUUAAUAUAAACCAUGAAUAUAUAACUUCACAUCUUGUUAAUUCACUUGAACUUCUAAACACUUGAAAACAAAACAAACGACACAUAAUUAAUACUUAACAAAAGUUUUAAAUUGAAAUUACUAUUAGUGCUAUUGAUAGAACAUCUCAAUAUAAUAUAAUAUAAUAGACAUUUUACUUAGGUUUGAAUAUAUAAAAGAAUUAUAAAUAAUAUAAUAUAAUAUACAGGGUUGGUCCAGGGUUGGACCGACCAAAAACUCUUAGGACCGAGGACUAACCCGCACAGUGUUGGUCCUGGAAUUUCAGGACCAAGGACCGACCCAGUCCCCUUGGGAACCGGACCAGGACCGGCAGGGUUGGGCCGGUCCAGGGUCGGUCCAGGGUCGACCCUAAACCGCUGCUCACCCCUAGCCCUCACCCAUUCUCAAAGCCAAUUCCAAUCUGAACACAUAAGAUGGAAGGUCUUGUUCAGCUGCACACGUCGAAAUUGGAAAGGAGAAUCAAAGACGGAAGGGAGCGUGCAGUUUCCCUUUCGACGAAAGGAGCAAUCUCGGCAAUUAGGGACCGGAAUUCACGGCCAAAAGAAGAGGAUUCUCGGCCAAGUGGGGAGGGAGAUUUUUCAGCAAUUAAUAAUUGUCAAAGAGAGCUCGAAAAAGAAAAGGGUGGAGCUUUUCUUCGUGGCCAAGAAAGAGAAAUACAGAGAGAGGAAAACUUUAAUAAAAAGAAGAGAAAAACAGGGAAGUGGUCAGCAAGCGAGAGGACUAAAAAGAAGAGGAAAACAGGGAAGUGGUCGGCAAAAGAAAACAGAGAUUUUGAAAAACAGAGGACGCAGAUUCUUGUGGAGGAUAUGCAAGCAAGAUUGAAAAGACGGAGAGAGAGAGAGGGCUGUCGGGGCACGCGUGAGGAAGUGACAGAGAGCAAAUGGUGCAAUUUCACCAUAAGUCAGUUUAAUUUACUUUCGAGGCAUCUAAAUUUCCUAAAAGUUACACUUUUUCUUUGCACUUUAAUUUCCAAGAAUUUUACUCCUCAUAGUUAAAUUUCUCCACCAUUUCAUCUCAAAGCCUAGAGCACCUUUCACUUGGAAAAAGCCAAAAAUGAAAUCAUGUUUAGCAUUGUUUUGAAAUUGAAUAAUUAUUGCAAAGUGCAUUUGCCAUCAUCUAAAGAAAUACUUUUGUUAAGGGAAUUUUUCCCGAAUAAAAAUAUACAAUUUUCCUCUAUUCUGACUAAAGGGCGGGUAAGAGUGUUCAGCUCUAAAGACCUUCACUGUAUCUUAUCAUAAAAGGUUCCCACAUCCCUAUAAAGUAUGCGGAUUGAACUGUAAUUGUUUCAGAGUUUUUCAACUUAGCUUCACCGAGAGAGAGAUGUUAUGGUGGAGAAGAGAAAAAAAUUUCAAAUAAUAGUUGCAUCACGAGAUAGUAAAAUGUAGUAUAAUAAACUUAUUAAUAUUGAGUAUUUUCAAUUUUCAAGCGCCAAAUUAAAAGAACAUGUAUAUUGCAUUCGGGCCAAUUACUUCACAUAUGACUGACACAUAAAAUACAUUUCCUUAGUAAAAGGGUAAUUUGGUCUUUUAAUUGAGGAUUUUUCUCUAAAGAUGUACAUUCUACAUAUAUCAAAAGCUGAGGAGCGUACAUGAUAUGGGAGUACUUUUGAAAUUUUCUUUAAUAUGAUCAAAGUAAAUAAAAACUCAAAAACCAUCUUUAUGCUCUAUCUUGGUUUCACUUUAUAUCCUCCAUCUCUAAAGUCAUGAAUCUAUGAAUUUGUUCUGUCACUUUCGUUAGUUGUCAGGUUUCAGAUUUUAAAUUCGUCAUUAAAUGAAUGGGACCCGGAAGUUUCGAGGAUGCCAACCCAUUGAUUGAUUCAUGGAAACUUUUAGGAAACUUCUCGGAUACUUCUCGAAUGACUCAAGUUGUUGACUAUUUUUGACUCGAGAAAAAAUUUGAAGUCAAGUCCCUUUUCCCCACGCCAGAGACUGAUAGAGCUUGUAAUACCGACAACCCUCGCUUAGAUCCAAGCACACCCAAAGCAAACUACACUGAGAGGAAGAAAGCAUUUGAUAUCGCUCAGAUCCAAGCACACCCAAAGCAAACUUCACUAAGAGGAAGAAAGCAUUUGAUAUCCGUGGCAUUUAGAGAUCCUACAAUGGAGAAAGGGACGAGUUCACAGGUGUCAUCUAGAUCUUCAUAUGAGGUUUUUCUAAGUUUUCGAGGAUUAGAUACCCGUCAUACAUUCACCGAUUUUCUUUAUCGUGACAUGGAUGAAGCUGGAAUCUGCGUCUUUAGGGACAAUGAAUCCCUCCAUGUCGGUGAAAAAAUUGGUAAGCUUUUACAUGCAAUUGAGAACUCUAAGAUCUACAUUCCCAUAUUCUCCACAAAUUAUGCUUCGAGUGACUGGUGUCUUCGAGAGCUUGCACAUAUGGUCAAAUGCACCUCAAAAUUGAAUGGGAACAAAGAGAUUCUACCCAUUUUCUUGGAUGUGGAACCUUCUGAUGUCAAGUUGAAAACAAAAUUGUAUCGACAAGCUCUUUCAAAGCGCCAAAAGACGUGCAGUGAAGUAGAGUCAUGGGAAAAGGCUCUCAUUGAGGUGGGCAAGAUAAUCGGAUGGAACUGGAAGAAAGAUGAAAGGUGAAUGUCUACAAUUUUUUAAACUAUCAUAUGUGGAUUUCCUUUUCCUCCAUAUUGAGUUUAAUUGCAGUAUUGCUGGUGAAAAAAUAGUUUAUUCAACUUUAGUAUCUCAUUCUUUUCAUUUUUUCUCCCAAUUUCUAAAUUUCUUUUCUUUUUCAUGAUAAUUAAGGAUAAAAGAGAUUUUUUUUUCAAAUAUUGAGACAGAAUUAUAUCACGUAAAAAUCACAUGCCUUGCACAUGCCGACGACAAAAUUGAUACACAGUUAAUGGUCGUGUAACAAACUGAAAGUGCAGGAAAUAUUGCGAAACAGUUGAAGGUUCGGCUGUGUACUACCCGAAAUUUAAGAUGAUUUUGUGUAUUACCUCUGCUUUCUUUCAACCUCAUUUAUAUGGCAUUUGCAUUUUUUUUUAUCCUGGAUUUCAUAAGCAUUUAAGAAAAAUAUAGGAGUAUACAACCGUAUGGCCAUUCGGCAUUCGCGUAGCGCGAGUCUAAGGGGCCAGUUAAUUUUUAACGAAUAGAAGAAUGCAACUUCUCUUUGUUUUUUUUUUUAAACGUUUACUUAAAAGGUGAAAAGCUGUGUUCUUUCGUGAACCUAGCUGCUCUACCAAGCCGCUGGCCAGCCACCGCAGCAGCUCUCCCUCAACCGUCACUUCUUCCUUGCCAGCCCGACAACAAGCCGCCAUCGAGCCAUCCGGCCCCCCACCCUUUCUUUCUCUCAUUCACUGGGAAGUCGGAUAUGGGCUCGGGAUGUCGGGCCCGAUGUCACCGAGCCCAUAUUUGGCAUUGCCGACCUUGGGUGACCUCAAAUUUGGCGCCGCCAAAGGCCGGUAAAGCAUCCUUGGCGGUUGCAAGGCCACAGGAUCCAUGUGACUUGAAGGAUUGAGGCAAGGCCGAGAUGGGCGGGUCGAUGGGGCGGGAUGGGCAACCCCGUUGGAACACAAUGGUGACGACCUGGGGAGGUGAGCGACGUCAAUGGCGGUGUGGUGGUGGCAGCGGUCGACAGUGAUGGUGACUAAAAUUGGGGGAGCGGAGACGGAUUGGAAAAAAUCCAGAUUAUUUUGCCGUCUAGAUUAUGUUGCAUAAUUUUUGCAAAUUGUAGGAGCAAUUGAGUCCUUGAGGGAGCAGUUUUGCAAUAUAAAAUAUAUCCUAACAUGGUUGUUACCUUGUUGCAGCCAAGCGGAUCUGAUAAAACUUGUGACUGAAACUGUGUUGCGUAAGCUGAAUGUCGGAAAUAAAAAGAUUGUGACUGAAAAUCUAGUUGGAGUUGAUGAUCGUGUAGAAGCUAUAAUAAAAAAGUUGGAUGUGGGAUCGGAUAGCGUACAAUUUCUUGGAAUCCAUGGAAUGGGCGGGAUUGGCAAAACAACACUUGCCAAGGUCAUCUUCAACCAACUGUCUUCUCACUUCGAAUACUGCCAUUUCCUUUCGGAUGUCCGAGAAACGUCACGAUGCGAUGUCCGAGAGAUGUCACGAUGCAAUGGUCUGGUAAAUUUGCAAAAACAGUUGCUAUCCAAGUUCCUUGAUUCUCCUUCCAUCCUCAACCAAAUUCAUGACACGGAUCAUGGGGCCAUAAUGAUUGAGAAAGUAUUUCGCAAUAAAAAAGUACUCAUUGUUCUUGACGAUGUGGAUGAGGAAAAGCAACUCAAAAGUCUAGCAAAGAAAGUUGAUUGGUUCGGUUCCGGUAGUAGGAUUAUCAUAACUACUAGGUACCAAAGUGUCCUAAGCAUUCGAGUAGAAGCAACAGGUGAAGCCCCUACACAUAUUUUGGCUCAUGAAGUAUUCGAAAUGGAAUGUGAUCAUGCUCUUAAGCUUUUCAGCAAACAUGCCUUUAGAAGAGACUCUCCUCUAGAUCAUUAUAUCCCCCUUUCCCAAAAAAUUAUCCAUACUUUGGGAAAUCUUCCUUUAGCCCUUGAGAUUAUAGGCUCAUUUCUUAGUGGUAAAUCCAUAGAAAUAUGGGGAGACACAUUGAAUAAGCUAAAAGAAGCUCCUCCUAAGGAAGUCCAAGAAACAUUGAUGAUAACUUAUGAAAGGUUAGAUGAUGCCCAAAGGCAAGUAUUUUUGGAUAUAGCUUGUUUUUUCGCUAAUAAGAAAAAAACAUACCCUCCCUACAUGUGGGAUGCUUGUGUAUACUACCCACACAAUGCCCUUGAAGUCCUCUCUCUCAUGUUCUUGAUAAAAAUCAAGGAUGACAAUACUUUCUGGAUGCAUGACCAAGUGCGGGACCUCGGAAGGGAAAUCGUUCGUAAAGAGAAUGUUGAUGAUCCGCGUGAGCGUAGCAGAGUGCAUGAUCCUGAGGUAGCGCUAAACAUUUUGAAGCGGAAAGAGGUAUGAAAGGGGAACAUCAAUUUAUUUUCUUGUGAAAUGUUGUAAAUAUUCUUGUAAAAAGAAAAAUUAAUCGCUAUUAACAAUUUGAAUUGUUUGCUUUUGACCUUCACCAUGUGGACUCCUUUGUGUUUCCAUUGUCAGGGGAGUAGGAAAAUUAAAGCACUGUCACUUGGAUUUCUCGAAGACACUUUUCUAGAGUUUGGAGAACUUAGAGGAUUUGAAGCACCGCCAAUUAGAUUUCAUGAAGACAUAAUUUUAAAGCAUGACGAAUUUGCUUAUUUAGAGAAGCUGAGGUUCUUUGAAGGAUAUCGGGCGUCCUUUGUUGGAGACUUCAAUAAUCUUCUUUCCGAUUUAAAAUGGUUUUCUUGCCGUGAUUGCUUAUCCAUGUUGGAGGCAAAAAACUUUCAUCCGACUAAUUUAGUCGUUCUUGACCUUUCAUGGAGCGACAUUUCGGAAAAAGAUAUUGAUUGGAUCAAAGUACGAUACAAACCCCACUCCUUGUAUUCAUAAAUCGUUUCUUUUCAUUUUUUUUUUUUGGUUGGUGGUUUCUCAAUAAAUAUUUUAUCAAAUUGUUUUGCAGGAAGCAAGGAAAUUAAAAGUCCUAGAUCUCACCUACUGCACUAAAUUAAGGAGAACACCCGAUUUAUCUACAUUGGUGUCUUUGGAGAUUUUGAUAUUAUCAAAUUGUAUAAUUUUGGAAAGUGUCGAUUGGAUCAAAGUAUGAUACAAGUCUCACUCCUUGUAUCCAUAAAUCAUUUCUUUUUAUAUUUUUUAUAGGUCAUUUCUCAAUAAAUAUUAUUGUUUUGCAGGCAGCAAGGAAACUAAAAGUCCUAGAUCUUAGCUACUGCCAUCGCUUAAGUAAAACACUUGAUUUAUCUACAUUGGUGUCUUUGGAGAUUUUGAGAUUAAAUCAUUGUCAACUUUUGGAAAGUAUCGAUUGGAUCGAAGUACGAUACGAGUCUCACUCCUUGUAUUCAUAAAUCAUUUCUUUUUAUAUUUUUUUGUAGGUCAUUUCUCAAUAAAUAUUUUUGUUUUGCAGGCGGCAAGGAAACUAAAAGUCUUAGAUCUCAGCAAUUGCUAUAACUUAAGGAGAUUGCCCGAUUUAUCUACGUUGGUGUCUUUGGAGAUUUUGGGAUUACGUUAUUGUUCAAAGAUAAAGAAACUUCCAGACUCAAUUGGGAAAUUACAAUCAUUAAUCAAGUUGGAUUUGUUAGGAACGAAUAUUGAUCACCUACCGGAUUCAUUCAGCAAUCUAAAGCAACUGACAACACUUAAGAUGAGGGAUAUUAAGGGAGGGUUGACAAAAUUACCUAGUGCGAUCUGGAUGGUUCAGUUACUGGCUUAUGGUACUGAGUUCAUCAGAAGUGAGCUGUACUGUUUGAAAAUGCCAGACUCAUGUAGCCAAAUAAUCGGAUUACCUACCUUGGCGAGUCUCGUCUCUAAUAUCCAUAAACUUGAGAUAGCCGCACGGGAUGGCAGACGGUUUUGGGAUACAACGUGGGGCCCCCUUGGUAAGCUGGAGAAUGUCAUUGCUUUUCUCUAUAGACUCGGUUGUACCGAAUCUUCGCCGGAAAAACGAAUAUUGGCCUCCCCAAACAUGCGGUUCUUCCUCCAGCUCCCGUCUAGUUUAAGAGAGUCAGUAUUUCGAGAACUGGCGACCUCACUUUUGCCAUAUUCAUAUUCUCUUUGUUGGUGGAUGCCGAUAUUCGUUGGUAUAUGUGAUUCGGAGUUGGAGAAACGCCAUUUGCAGGAUUGCACUCUUACGAGACGGCUCGAACUGUUUGAGUGGAAUAUGAGAGAAAAAAUGAAAGAAAUGGAAGACCGUGAUUGUAGUUCUUAAUUGUGUCAAAUGUACAAGUAUGCAGUUGUAUUCACGAUGGAGUCCAUCGCCGCCACUGCUGCAACCAAACCCUUCUUCUCCGAUCUCUCCCCUCGCCUCCGCCGCGCGACCGCCAUGUCGCAGCCGCAUUCGAUUCCCCCAAACGCCCCCGAAUCUCCGACCACAUACCCCGCGCCGCUCUCUCCUCCGUUGCCGCCCUUAUCGAAGCAGGUGGAGCUGGCCAGAGCCAUGUCCGCUUCCUCCAGAUCGGGCGCCUUCUCUCUCUCCCGGAGCCACGUGGUCUACGAGGACGAGUGGCCCCUUGCCGUCAACAAGCCCCCCGGAGUUUACUGCGAGAGCGUCCUGGCCUCGGCCCCUCGCGUCGUCCCCGGCGAUUCCGGCGAUUCGGGUAGGUUACCGAUGGGGCGAUUUGCGUCCCGUCUCGUAUCUGUGCAGAUUGAUAAUUUUGCUGCUUUUUUGUUUAGCUUCACGCUGUGGUUGAAAUUGUACUUAACCUGCCUGUUCUUGGAUUUCAAAUGCGAGUUACGCGAAAUCCAUUUGCGGGAAUGUGUAGUUGGGAAAUCCGUAGUGCGAAAUUGAAGUUCGAUUCUAUGCUUUAGUUUAGGAAAAGGAAAUGCGAAGCUGGAAAAUUUGCGAUCUUUUUAUUUCGGUUCAGUUUGAUGGCAAAAAAGCAGUUCAUAUGAUUUCUUGUGCUUUAUUUGGGAAGAUAGUAGCAAUGUGUUUCCUUAGGCUUAAUUCUGCUACAAUUUGAUGUGGAUGUUUUGAAAUGGGAUUAGAGAAUCCUACUCCGAAGGGUUAAAAUUGUUGCUGUUUCGGGUGUGGUGAUGCUUGAGUGAAUUUUCAGCUCUAGAUCAUAGUGAUGUCGCUUGUCCUAUGUUUAUUAGCUUUAGUAGAAGGCUAGAUUUGAAUCCAGUUUGUGGGUUUAGCUUAUUUUUAUUCAGUUCCGGCCAAUCUUGAAGAGAUAAUUUGAGCAGAUUUGAGGCUGAUUCGAUCCGUGUAUAUCUCAUUUUAAGGAUGUUCUUGUCAUAGAAAAUGAUCACUCCUUGAAACCUGUCUGACUGUGCAGCUUAGCUUUGUUAAUCUAAGUUCUUUGAAAUGGUUAUCGUUGUAUGAUAUGUGCUCAACCUACUUAAUUGAUAAAUGUGGUUAAGAUGGAGUCAAAUUUAUCUUUAUUUCUCAUGGUUUGAAUACUUAGGAUGCACCUACAUUGUCAAUACUAGAACAAGUUUUGUCAGAAUUCCUGGCAAUUGCAUCGUGAAUUCAAUCAAAUGAGUGAACAGAAUCCAACAUUGACAGCUUACUGUUUUCUGCUGUUAGGGUGCACUGAAGCUGUGCCUGAGCUCCACCUUGCUAAUCGACUUGACAUAAGGUGAGAAAAACAUACAUAGCUCUCUGUGUUGGAUUAGCACCGAAGUGGGAAACUAUAACCAUUCGAUCAGGCCAUGGUCGGUCAAAGUUUGGAGGGUCUAUGCAGCACCAGAUGUGGGACGGACACUGCCAGGUGGGUCUUUGGUCAGGGACAUGGAAACAUCAUUUGAGGUAUUGUCUGUAAAUGGUCAAUUGAAGUCCAAGCAACCAGUUAAGCAGGGAAAAGAUGAUGACAAUAUCGUGGUAGUUGAAGAGAAAUCUUCUAUCAAGGAUAAUGGAACGAAAGAUGUAGUUUUGGUGAGAGCAUAUCCUCGGAGUGUUAGGACGCAUCAAAUCCGCUUGCAUUGCCAGUAUCUUGGGAUUCCCAUAAGAGGUGAUGUGAAGUACGAGGGUGUGUAUGAGUGGGAAGGGCAAAUAAAUGACUACCACACUCUUCAUGCCGAGAGCUUGUCCUUUGAGCACCCAGUAACCGGUGUGCACCUGAUGUUUCGAGCACCUUUACCUGCGUGGGUUGCUGAGUGCUGCCCUAAUGAGAUCCCACCUGCUUUUUCUUCAAAUGAAAAUCAUGCUAGAUGAGGCUAUAAACGCUUCAUUGGAGGCUGAUGAAUUUGCUAAUUUAGAAAAGCUGAGGCUCUUUCUAGGCAAUUGUGUGUCCUUUAUUGGAGACUUCAAUAAUCUUCUGUCCGAUUUAAGAAUGCUUUCUUUUUAUGAAAGGAGAUGGGCUUUUACAUAUGGUGGUCCUUCCAUGUUUCAAGCAAAAAACUUUCAUCCAACUAAUUUAGUCGUUCUUCACAUUUCAAGUAGCAGCAUUACGGAAGAAAGUAUUGAUUUGAUCAAAGUACGAUACGAGUCCCACUCCUUGUAUUAAUAAAUCAUUUCUUUUCAUUUUUUCUUGCAGUUCGUUUCUCAAUGGAUAUUUUAUCAAAUUGUUUUGCAGGCGGCAAGGAAACUAAAAGUCCUAGAUCUCAACCGUUGCAUAAACUUAAGGAGAACACCUGAUUUAUCUACGUUGGUGUCUUUGGAGAUUUUGGGAAUAACACAUUGUAUGAAAUUGGAAAGUAUCGAUUGGAUCAAAGUAUGAUACGAGUCUCACUCCUUGUAUCCAUAAAUCAUUUCUUUUUAUAUUUUUUUAUAGGUCAUUUCUCAAUAAAUAUUAUUGUUUUGCAGGCGGCAAGGAAACUAAAAGUCUUAGAUCUUAGCCGCUGCAAUUACUUAAGGAGAGUGCCCGGUUUAUCUACGUUGGUGUCUUUGGAGAUUUUGAGAUUACGUAAUUGUUGGAGGAUAAAGAAACUUCUAGACUCGAUUGGGAAAUUACAAUCAUUAAUCGAGUUGAAUUUGCUAGAAACAAAUAUUGAUCACCUACCAGAUUCAUUCAGCAAUCUAAAGCAACUGACAACACUUAGGAUGAGGGACAUUAAGGGAGGGUUGACAAAAUUACCUAGUGCGAUCUGGUUUGUUCAGUUUGUGGCUCAUCGGGAUGAGUUCAUCACAAGUGAGCUGUACUGUUUGAAAAUGCCAGACUUGUCAUGGACCUAAAUAAUCGGAUUACCUACCGUGGCGAGUCUCGUCUCUAAUAUCCAUAAAAUUGAGAUAGCCGCACGGGAUAGCAGACGGUUUUGGGAUCCAACGUGGGACCCCCUUGGUGAGCUGGAGAAUGUCUUUGCUUUUCCCUAUGGAUCCAGUCAUACCC
RNAcentral lists this long non-coding RNA (82623 nucleotides) under Eucalyptus grandis. RNAcentral describes it as "long non-coding RNA (EGRA_LNC000751)". Lineage: Eukaryota; Viridiplantae; Streptophyta; Magnoliopsida; Myrtales; Myrtaceae. The record is from RNAcentral.